CAUAUUCAUCGCCUCUUCUAUUGAAGUCACCUCCAAAUCUACUAACAAUUGAUAACGUGAUCCCAUACUUUUAUCCCCUUUUAAAAUUGUUUCCUUUUUUGAUCCCAUCCAAGCCGCGCCUGGCCUUCCACUCCACCAGCAUCCAAGGACCAUAGUUCCUUUCUCUGGCCGCCGUAGUAGCUACAGAAGUUUGUUCCAAUGUCUCACCCUUCUCUUUUGCCCCUGGGAGUUGUGUGAGUGACGGGUAAGUUUCCUUGGUGUGUCCAUAAUAGCCACACUUAAAGCAAACCAUAGGUAAGUUUUUGUACUUGAUGUUUUGAAGACUACCAUUGAUGAGAAUCUUCUAGACUAACGAUAGCCCUAAAUUGAAAAAAAACUGCCAUGCGAACGUACCAACCCUUGCUCUACUAUCAUUGUUAAAAUCCAAUUUUGUUACUUUACCUAUCAUUCCCCCAAUCUCCAUAAGAAUCUGUUUUUUUAUAAAAGUGACUAGGAAGCCCGGGAAAACGAAUCCAUGUGAGGACCUUAUCAGCCGAAGCUAAUGCCAUUAGGAGAGGAAGAAACUUAGCUCACAAGUAGAAGGGUUUCAAACCGCUUGACUAGAUAUAGAUAGGAAAGAAGAAAUGACAAUGCUGCUCAGUCUCUAGGCUACUCGACCGACUAACUAACUCGAUUAACUAAGAAGGAAAGGAGCUAAGAAAGUAGGGCAUAAAUAGCUGCAAGGGCUCGAUGAACGGCCUAAAAAGUCCUGGUAUCUCGUUGUAAUCCCAAGCUUGCAAUCCCUAAACUCCUUGAGUAGUCCUCUUUCUGAAGAGCAGUUGAUCGUGCUACUCAUUCAUGUAGGCUGUCACUCUGUUCGUUCCCUCUCAUAGAUGGAUUUCUCAGAGUAGAUCCUGCACUUCAUCCUUAUCCGAAAGCAUCUACUAAGCUAACCAUCUAAUCUAAGCAGUAGCAUCUCAACUCAAGGAAUAGCUUUCCCGCAAGAGGAAAGAGCAUCUAUCUACACAGUUAGCUGCCCCUACUUUGGGAUAUUGCCUUAGCUAGGUUGGCUCCUAGGCUAAAGCAACUGUACAAGAGGGGUAAGGUUUAGGAUUGAAAUCGAUUGUCCAGGUUUGGACAGUGAGGUAAUGACUGAAAAUAACCCACAGACCUUGGGAAUGAAUCUUGUCAUAGUCAUCAGUGUUCUGAAAUUUUGUAGGAAAAUAACCAUUUUCAGUAUCCAUUAAUUGAAAAGGGUUAGAUAGUUUCCAAAUCCCAUAUAUUAUAUGAUGCAAAGUUUUAAUUCCAAGGUUUUGUCCCAACAUCUUGAGUACCACAAAGGUUGACAAUUCUUUUUCCAAAAGUUGAUAAACUCUCUCCGAGAAAUCAAUGGAAGGAACACCAUCAAUAAAAGAUUUCUUGACAUCCUGCUCUAUGAGGGAGAAAUUAUCAGCAAAGGACUGGCGAUCACUUGUAUUGUUCUGAACAAAACUUUCCUUCCCCACUAGCAUAUCCUUCCAUGAUAGAGAAGGCACUGGCAGUGGAUCCACAACCAUCACAUCUUCAGGAAUUGCGUCUGACCCCUUAAAUCAAACCUUCUUGGUGUUAGAAUCCUCAAGAAUGGAAACACCUUCUUCAUUCCUAUCCUCAGUAGAAGUCAAAGAAAAAGUUUGUAAAACAUUUAUUUUCAAAACAUGCAUCAUUCAUAGUUUUGAAUCUUUAUUUCGCUUUAAUUUCAAAGAUAACAACUGCUAAAUAUUAAUAAUUUCAUAAUUUAACAAUUCGGCUACUUUAAUCUAACACCUUUAUAGUAUGCUUUAAGAAAAAUUGAAGAAGAAAGCUUACCUUAUGAAUUUUUUAUCGGUAACGGUGAAAUGUUGAAUCAAAAUUUCUCAUCUUCUUCUUGAAUUGGAGGAGAAGGUAAGCUGGUAAUGCCCACUAUUUUAUUUAUGUAAAAAAUUAAAUUAAUUGACUAAUAAUCAUUAAUUAAAUCAAUGGCUAUUAUUAAAGGAUGACAAGCUUAAUGGUUUUUAAUGGUUGGAUUUAGGCGGUGCCACUAACAUGAGUUGACCCAUGGUGUAAUUGCUUUUAGAUCCUUAAUAUAAUUGCACUUUAACGAUUUGAUUGAAAUCUCAAUUCAAUUCCACUAGUUUGAACCACUUCCAACCUAGUCCCUAUAUUGAUGUCCUAUUUAAUAAGUUUACUAAAAAAUAUCAAAUUUCGAGUUAAUUGAAUUCAUUUAUUUGAAUCAAGUCAAAUAAGUAAGUCAAGUUUCGAGUUCGAGUCGAGUUGAAUAUUACAAUUUGAAUAACUUGAAAAUUUUGAAUAACAAAUUGGUAUAAAUACCCCUUUGGUCCCUAUCAAUUUUGAAAAUGAGCAAAUUGGUCUCUCAACAAAAAUUACAAAAAAAAUUAAAAUAUUUAUAAAAUUUCAGAAUUUAUAUUUUAAAAAUAUGUAAUUUUUUAAAAAAGUCUCAAAAAUAUAUAAAGAAAGUUAAAAUUUAAAAUAAUAAUAAUUUUGGGACCUAAAUAAGUUAAUUAGUGAUUUAAGUUUAUCAUACUAAAUUAUCUUCUUCUUUUUUUCUUAUUUAGUUUAAAAAAGUUCAAAUCUAUAUUGUUUCAAUUUUAUGUGCUUUAACAUGGAAUUAGUUAUACUGUAACAAGAUUUUAAUUUGACAUGUUUAAUUUUUUAAUUUAACUUCAACAAUUUCACUCGAUUCGGUUUGACUUGAAUUUCAUUUCACUCGACUCAUCAAUUUUAGAAAAUAGGACUCAUCAAUUUGAUUAACUUAAAAUUUUCACUCGAUUUGAUUGAACGCUCACCCUUAGUUUACAUAAUUCUUUAAUUUUUUUUAAAAAAAAUAUGUUUUUUUUACAUUUUUAUAAACUAUGAAGUAUUUCUCUUCUCAUCUCAUUUUUACCAUUCAAACUUAAUAAAAAUUAUUCUCUUCCUUUCAAUCCUAUAACAUGACUAUAUAUAUAUUAUAAACCUUGACCAUAUUUUAUCACAUGAUAAUUAAAACUAAUUAGUAAAAAGGGUAAACUACUAUUGGGAUAAACUUAAUUAAGCAACGAACAAGUUAAAUAACAAAGGAAUUGAAAAGAUCGAACACAAAUAUUUCACUUGGAAAAUUCUCUCUGAAAAGGAUAAAAACCAAGGGCAAAGAUAAUUUCACUAAACCGAAAAAAAUGAAUAGUACAAAGAUGGAGAUAAAACUAAAUCCCAAAACCCAAAAUAAGAACCUUCAAAACGUAAACAAAAAAUUCUAUGAAAGCUUGUAAAAGCUAAUACCUAAAUGUGUAAUGGGUUAAAAAUUUCUAGAGUAGAAAAAUGCCUAUUUAUAGGUUAAAUUCGUAGAUCAAAUGAAAUUAAAAUAGCUUACACUAAUUAGAGUUCAACUAAAACAACCACUUAAAGUUUAACUUGGAGAAGAAAAUUGAGAAAAAAUCCAUGACACAUUGCCAUGUUAUUUCUGCUCCUCCCCUAUUUACAUCGUCAUGUCGUGGAGACAUUGCUUUUUGUUUGUGCCUAAAUUUGACCGAAAUGCGAGGUUUACUCCACAAGUCUCCACAUUGACUCGUAUUUCCAUAAUGUCUUCUUUGUCAAACCCCAUAAUAGGCCUACUCAAACUAUGCAAGAUAUUAACUAAGUCAAAUUUGUGUUAGAACUUUGAAGCCUAAAGACUUCUAGUCUUUGACUUGUGCACUGCCAAAUCAAAAUAGACUCAAUUUUGAUUUCUACAAACCCAGUGCCCUAUCUUUUCAAAAUUUGCAUCCAAAAGAGAACCUCUCUUAUAUGAAACAAUCAUACCUUUUUCCCUCAUAUGACCAAGUUGCCUCCGCUUCAAACGAGUCGACUUUGACUUCUUAACAAACGAGGGAUGUCUUGCUUCAUCGAUUACUGUCGAUCCUUCCAGAACAUAAAGAUUUUAAAUCAUUUUACCUUUCAUGAAAUUGAGAGCCCCACAAGAUACCUUAAUGUUGCUUCACUCGAUUUUAAUUCUACAACCCUUCGAAUCCAAAUUUCCAAAGGAGGUGAUAAUUCUCUUUGAAUCAGGUACAUACCUGAUGUUUGACAGUGUCUUGAUUGUCCCAUUGUGCAUCUAGAUUUGAACAAUACCAAUACUGAUUACCUUAGAAGGUGAACCAUUCCCCAUACGCACAACUCCACCUUCAACUGAACUGCAUAUGAAAAACCAGUCCUUAUUGAGAUAUAUGUGGAAAGAAUACCCCAAAUCUAGGAUCGACUCAGAUGUAAGCUCGGAUCUUUUGCUUGUUAACACCAACAAAAAAUCAUCACCCUUGUUAUUGAUUGAAUUAGCACCAGAUAAAUCUUCCUUAUUGCUCUUAGCAGCCUUUUUAUUUCGUAGUUUGAAAAAAUCUACCUUGACGUGACCUAACUUCUUACAAUAGCGACAUCUCUUGUCUCGUUUCAUUGAUGCUACCAAAAUCGAGGCUUUCCUAUCUGACUUGCUAUCUAGAGCAAACUUAUUAUUGAAUUUUUAUUUACUCAAUAGAUGACCUUUCACAUCAUUGAAUGAGAGUUUAUAUCUACCAUAAAUCAAGGUCUCCUUGAAAGACUUGUAUGAAGGGGGUAAGGAGCACAAUAAUAUUAUAGCCUGAUCUUCAUCGUCAAUUUAAACCUUAACAUUCUAUAAGUCAUUUAAAAUAGUAAUAAAAUUAAUGAUGUGACCUCUAAGGUGCUCACCUUUCUUUAUAUGAAAUGUGUACAAUAGUUUUAUCAACACUAAUUGGUUAGCUAGAGGCUUUUUCGCGUAAAUGAUUUCUAACCUUUUCCAUAAGGUUUAUACCAUUUUCUCCAUCAAUAACUCCUGUGAUACGUUAUUCGAGUGGCACAACUAAAUAACAGACAAUGCCUUCUCAUCAAGCUAUUUAUAUUUUGACUUUUCUAUAUCCACGAGCUUCUUCCUUGUAACAACCUUUUUCAUACCGCUUUGGACCAAUAUUGUCGUCAUCCAAACUUGUCAGAGAUUGAAAGUUGUGAUGCCAUCAAACUUCUCAAUAUCAAACCUUGUUGCUGUCAUCUAUUGAACGUAUUGAAUAUGAAAAUUGAACUAACUCUGAUACUAGUUUGUUGGGGAUAAACUUGAUUAAGCAACGAACAAGUAAAAUAAAAAAGGAAUUGAAAAUAUCGAACACAAAUAUUUUACGUGAAAAAUCCUCUCCAAAGAGGAUAAAAAAGCACAGGCAAAGAUAAUUGCACUAAAUCAGCAAAAAAAAGAGUACAAAGAUGGAGAUAAAACUUAACCCUGAAACCUGAAAUAAGAACACUCAAAACUAAACAGAAAACUUCCUGAAAGCUUGUAAAAACUAAUACCUAAAUGCGUAAUGGGUUAAAACUUUCUAGGGUAGAAAAGUGUCUAUUUAUAGGUUAAGUUUGUAUGUAAAAUAAUAUUAAAAUAAUCUACACUAACAAGAAUUUGACUAAAACAAUUACUCAGAGUUUAACUAGAAGAAGAAAACUGAGAACAAUUGUAUGACAUGCCGCCACAUCCCUUGUCGUGUUGUCGAGACAUCAUUUAUGUUUCUCCUUUAUUUCUAUUGUCGCGACGUCGCUCUUUGUUUAUACCUAAAUUUGACCGAAAUGUGAGGCAUAUUCCACAACUACCAAAAUAGUCACUUUUGUAUACCUCAGGUUAGAUUUUAAUCAUUUAUGUUUGAAAUCUUACAUUUUAGUCACUUACAUUAAUAUGUUUUUAACAUUUUAGUCACUGAGCCCUUAAUUGUCGUUAAGGGUAUAAUAGUAAGCUGACAUAGCACUUUAAAUCAUUAGUUCAAACAAAAAAUUUAGGUUAAAGUAUACAAUUGGUCCCCAUAUUUUUUUAUUUUGAGAAAUUUAUUUUUUUUCUUUUGUGUUCUUUUAACUUUCCUUUUUUUUUCUUUAUUUUCAAUUCUCUCUUGCUUCUCCAUAUGUUUUCCUUCCUUCUCCAUCUUUUUUAAAGUAGUUUUUUUAUAUUUUCCAUUUGUUAAAACUUUUUUAUUUUAUGAAAAUAGAAAAGGCAAAAGUUGAAACCAAAAUAAAACUUGGUUCAUAUAUUCUCACCCCACAAUUGCAAAACGCUCAUCGUCCAUCAUCACUUUAAUGAUUCAAUUUGAAUCACUUAAUGACUUAGUCUACAAGCUUAUUCCACUCGAAGACUUCUCCAGUAGUGACUUAUAGGUAGUCCAACCUCAAUAAAGUUUCCUGAGCCCGUUCCCUUAACCUCCUAAACAAUCCUUAUGACCACCUUAUUUAUCUUACCUACAACAUUCUCACCCUCUCGAAACUAUGUUAUUUCACGGAUUCUUCAAAUGAGCUUUACAUUCUCAAUGACUACAAUGACCACCAUACGAAACUUACUGUAACACCCCAAACCUGGCCUAGACGUUAUGGCUGAAUCUGAGAAUGUUACGAAGAAGGAUUUGAAAAAUUUGUCAUAUCAUGUUAAAGUUUCUCGUGUUAAUUGUUACAAAAUGGGGUCCAUGUUUUAAGAAAAACAUAUUUUUAUACUCUUUUAUAAAAACCGUCAUUUGUUUGUCUUUUUAAGUAAAAUGUAAUUUUGCAGCGGAAGUUUGAAAAUUUUUGUAUUUGAAACCCGAACUUGUAUUUUCAAAAACAUUUGUUGUGAAAAACUGUGGUUUUGUCAAAUGUCGCAGGAUAAAAGUCAAAAAACGUAUUCAAAACCAAAAGUUAUAAACAAAUAGUCUAAAGAGUCCCAAAAUUAUAAAACUCUCAAAGAAAAGUUGAAAAUUUUAAAAAAAUUAUUAAUUAAAGAAAACAGUCUCUGAACUAGUGGUUACCGUUGAGCCUCCGUCACACCUACCCGCCUAUGCUUGAGGAUUACCUGAACAUAAUAGAAAACAGAAGUGAGUUUCCAAAAAUUCAGUGUGUAACUCAACGAAAACAUACAUGCAUAUAUUUAAGAUUUCCAACAAUUCAGAACAGAAGCAAACAUAAGUCCUUAACAGAAUCAGAUCAUAUCAAAAUCAUGCAAAUAUUCAAAGUCCUACCCCAUGCUCUACACACCAACUCCAACCAUCCCAACACACCACAUGGGGUAUAAAACACCCACCCAUCCUUACACACUACAUAGUGUCUAUACGACACUUAUCGGAAUAUAUUGCAGCCAAGCUACCAGUAUAUCAGCGAAAUGUCGCCUCAUAGAACACUUUCUCAACGUAUACAGAUCCCCCCAUAUACAGAUGUAGAUAUUAGAUAAGCAUGUAUUGUAAAAUUAACAUGUCUCGCAUGCUCAUAAACAUUAAUCAUAUAUAUUUAUACAAAACAAGCAAAUCAUACGUAUCGGUUUUCUUCAUACUCAAAUCAGUCUAUCAGAAUAACAAAUCUCAUGCAUUAGGGUGCUUUUCCCUUACCGACCCUACGGAAGGCCUACAAUCGAUCAAAUCAACGUGUGUGACCUUAGGGAAAAAUAUUAAAUUUUGGGCCCACAUGCUCAUACGGGCCCACACGGCUUGGCCUACGGCCCACACGCUCGUAUGGCAUGCCUGUGUAGGCCCACACGCCCAAAUCAGCCUAGGCCGUGUGACCCAUACGGCUACAGAUACUCUCGUCACACGGUCGUGUGUCGCAUACAGCGUACCACACGGCUAGGCACAUGCCCGUGUGGCGUCGACAAGCCACUUUUUUGGCUUUCGCUGAACUUCGUUUUCUCACAUUUUUGUUACACACUUGGUUUAUUUUUGGUGCAAAAGUAACCCCGAGACAUGCGAAACCUAAAACAAUAAUCCAAAUGUUAUUUUUUCAAUAAAUUUAUGAACUCAAGCAAGAAUUUGAUUCCGAUUUAAGCCUUUCAAAACCGAAUUAUGCGCAAUGCACUUACCACAAACGAGUAGAAACACAAAAUACUCAAAACGAUAGAGGUGCACCUGUCGCUUCUUGUCUUUCCCGUAAACGAGAAAUAACGAACACCAUCAACAGAUUCCGUAAAACAAAAUUGAAAUUCCCCACAGCGCAAUAAUGAAAAAAACUACUAAAAAGCUUACCUAUUUGACACGAAUUAAAGAGCCCCCAAAAGCACGACAAUGGCAAUCAGAAUCGAAGAAGGGAGCAACAAUAAUUUUUUUUUUUUGCAAAGGAAAGGAGGGAAAGAGAGAACAUCUGAAAAAAUUUGGGAAAAAGAAAAAAUAAUAAAAAUGUGGAGAGAGAUUUUUGGGGAAAAAAAUAAAAAUAAAUGAAAUGAAAUUAAUCAAAAUCUCAACUCCCACUAACCCACUAACUAACCUAUCCCACUAAAACCAACAUCAAAUUCUCAUCCAACCACCUCAGAGUUUCCGUUCCAUCAAAUCUCUGUCACACAACCGAAAGAAAAAUUAUCAUUCUUGCUCACAUAGGGAUUUGAACAUGAGACCUCAAGGCAAGCUAACACCUUGCCACUCAAACUAGCAAGCUCAUUCUAAAAUGAUUUGACUAGCAAUAGAAUAUAAGCCAAACCGCCAAGGAGUAGGCUAGGAUUAAAAAAUAGCAAAAAUUCCCAAAAAUGAGACUUGAACCCAAGACCUCAAACACACACUCAAAUCACUUAACCACUAAAAAAAAUACAUAUUUAUGAUAAGAUUCGCAGAAACAAAGUUAAAUUAAUCAGGGCAUUACACUUACCCUCAACUCUACCCAAAUCAGUUUGGUUCCAUGCUCCCUUUCUCUAUUCGGUUAAUCAAUGCUCGGCUUCCAAUCAAGCUUACUUGGGAAUAUCCAAAAAGAUGUAGAUCAAUUUUAUCAUUUGCUUAAUUUUAUUUUUUAGAAAAUAAAAGAAAAGGAAAUGAAUAAUCUACAUGAUUCUGUAAAUGUUUGAAAACGAAAAAAAUUUAUUUUCAAUGUAAAGAAUUCAAUUCAUGUUUAGAUUUGGUUAAGGAUAUGAUUUUUUAUAUUGAUUAGUUAGAUCCAAUUUUAGUUUCAAAAUUAGGUUAUAUUCAAAUUGAGAUUUGAUUAAAAAUGAUUGAUAUUCGAUUUUCAGUGAAAUUCAAUUUUGAAAUCAUGUGAAAGAAACAAGGACUUAGUUUAUUUGGUGGGCAAAAACCAUGUUUCUGCAAUUAAGAAUAUGAGAAGAGAGAAAAUAAAUGGGAAGAAGAAAAGGAAAAUAAAGAAAUAAAAGAAAAAUUGAAUUGUUCAAAAAAAAAAGGAUAGAGACUAGUUUUAACAAAUGAAAAACAUAGAAAAACUACGUUAAAAAUGGAGAAGAGAGGAAAAUAAAGGGAGAAAGAGAAGAGAAUGGAAAGAAUAAAAGGAAGUUCAAAGAACAUAAAAAAAAAUUGCUCAAAAUGAAAAAAGUAUAAUAACUAAUUGUAUAAUUUAACCUAAAGUUUUUAUUUGAAAUUAUGAUUUAAUGUGCCACAUCAACUUACCAUUACACUAUUAACGAUAAUUAAUGGUCAGUGGCUAAAAUUCUACAAUACGAUAACGUAAGCAACUAAAAUUUUAAUUUUAAAUAUAAAUAACUAAAAUGUAACUUGAGACAAAUAAAAGUGAGUAUUUUAAUAGUUUAUGUUAAUGAUAAAUAUAACAAAAUUGUUUAAUUAUUAACCUCAUGAGUAUAUAUAUUAGAUUAGUGGCACAUAAUCCAAAAGACGUAUUUGGAGAGUAAUUGAACACAUAUAAAUACUAAGGUUGAAGUUUUUAAAGCUCACAACGAUUAAAUGUUUAUUUAAAAUGUUUUGAAACAUAAUACAAAUACAUGAAUAUAUCAAAAUACAUAACUUAUAAAAUUUAAACUUACUAAAUUUAUUUAAAAUAUAUAAAACCUUUAAAGCAGGAUUUGAAAUAUGAAAAACAUAAGAAAACAAAAUCGCAAGUUAUCAUGAAUUUGGGUGCCCUGGUAAUGCAAUUUCCUAGCUUCUGCCAGUAUACAGCUUGAAGGAUGAGGGCCGUACUUAGUUCACAGGAGAAUUACCACCUCCUGCAUCACAAGCAGGAUCAUGUUCAGGACAUGGAGUUGGUUUUCCUCCUCCUAGAUUUCUAUGUACCACUUCACUUCUCCUCUGAACUACAAUUAUAACCCCCAAAACAAAUAAAUAUUCAAAAGAAAAUCAGAAAGAGAUCAUAAAUAUAAGCAAUUAAGAAUAACUUUUCUAUAUAGUUUCAACUCGACUUACCGGUUACAGGAGUGCUUGUGGUUGAAGGAGGAAAGAGUAGUGAGAAUGAUAGCAGUAUGAGUAGUAUACAAAGCAUGAGGGAUAUCUUAUAGGCCAUGUUUGGUUGGUGAAAAACUGGUUUUCUGUGGUGAAGAUAAUGGGAGUAAUUAAUCAGACUUGGUUGUGAUUAUUUUGGAGGAGAAACAUCACUUUGGAACUCUAUCCUUUAAUCUAUCAAUUGACUGCUUACUCUUGCUAAAUAAGAUUUCCAAAGUUUGAUCGAAUUUGUUUAUUAUUGUUAUUUUGACAAUCCUCCAUGAAAAUUUAUUAGUCUUGUUUUCCUUAAUUAUUUAUUUGUUUCCAAAAUCAACCACAAAAGUUUAUUAUUUUAUCAGGUUUAAUAUAUCAUUUGAUACUUAAGUUUGAAACUUUUUUCUAAUACGGUACAUACGUUUUUUUUAUCUAAUUUGGUACAUAUAUUUGAUAAAAAUUAUACAUGUUGGUACUCAAAGGUAACGGUGUUAACUUUUUUAGUGUUUAAUUCAAGUUUUAAGGUUGUUUUGAUUAAAGUUAAUAGCUAAUAUUGUUAGGUUUGAAUUUUUCAUGAUUUUGAUAAUAAAAUAAAUUUAGUGUUAAUUGUGAAUUUGUUUAAUUUAUCAAAUAAAAUUUGAUGGAUGUGAUCAUUUAAUUCGGGUUUUAAGGUUGAUUUGAUGAAAGUUAAUUGCUAAUAAUAUUAGUUACUUAUGAAUUUCAUCAAAUCAACUCUAACACUUGAAUUAAACGCUAAAAAAUUAACGUUAUUACCUUUAGUACCAAAAUAUAUAAAUUUUGUGAAAUAAAAGUACCACAUUGCAAAAAUUUGUAUCAGCAAUUUUUAAAUUUUAAAAUCGAAUUUACUUAUUUAGAUAAAAAUAUUAAAAUUUUUCUAAAUUUAUGCGUAUUUUUAAGUGAGGAAUCACUAGUUCAAUUUCUCUUACCAAAUUCCACCUAAAAACUAAAAAAAGCUUUAACUUUAAAAAUCAUUUUUAUGUUAAAUUUUAUUUUAUUAAAAAUAUUCGUAAGUCUUUAAUCUAAUGAUAUGCAUAUUGGAUAUUUUUAUAUAAUUAUUUUAAAUUUGUAAAAUUCUAAUAAUUUAAUUUUUCUUAAAACAAUUACAAUUGCAAACAUUUUGAAUUGAUGGAUUCUAAAAUGCUAACAUUUUGUUUUGAUACAAUGCAUAAAAUUACCCGUAACUCUUCUGCAACAUUUAAAUAUGAAGAUAAACGCGUUUUAAUGCGCUGACAAGAUUACCAAUACCAACUAAAUUAAAACCCAAUCGGCAAAAUGCUAACUUGUUUAAAUAUUUAAAAUUUAGACUGACUUCAUCCAAAUAAUCACAUAACAUCACUUCCUUAACAUUCUCAUUAAAAAUAUUUUUAAAAAAAAAGUUUGUGUGAUAAACCUAAAAGGCUUUUAAGGAAAAAAAAAUCAGUUAAGCAUUUCAACUUAAUUUAAAAUUAAUUGAGUUCUUGCAGUUAAUCUAAAAAAUUAUUUAAAUCCAUCUGUUAAUAAUUUUCGUCUUUUACCUAAAAUUAGCUGACAAACAUGUGAGAACUCUGGAUUUAAUCUUUUAUUUUUAUCAUAAAAAUUAAAAAAAUUAGAAAUAUAAAAUUUAUAAUAAAAUUAUAAAAAUAUAAAAAACGUAAUUUUUUUUUACCAAUUGAGCUUUCAAUUAUAGGAUUGACGAAUUAACGAGCAAUGUCAGACACGGCCGUGCGACACGGCCAUGUGCACCCACACGCCUAAGGAACACGGGCCUACACUAAAUAUCAGACGCGCCCAAAUUCAAAAUUCGUGAAUCACACGGGCUGAAAUUGGGGAACAUGGGCGUGUUACUUGGCUGUGUGCCCCAAAAUCUAUAAAUACCCUGCACUAUUCAUUGUCUUCCCCACUCAAAAACCCUAACCCUAGCCGCUGCAAUUCCACACGGCCUCCUUGUCACGCUCGUGCGCAGCCUCCAACUCUAUUCUUGAUGCCCAUUCUCUUCUUUCUAGCGUUUGCUUACUCUUUUCUCAUUUAUUCUUACUAAUUUCUAGGGCCAUUUAUCAUAAUAAUAUGAAAUUUUUCUUGUUCCUUUCUUAUUUUUAUACAAAUGUUAUAUCUAGAAUAGUUAUUAUCUUUCUCAUGUUAAAAUUCUUACUCAUUGUAUGAUUUCUCUUAUUUAUUUGAUUAGUUAGAAGUAAAUAUUCAUGAUUAGAACAAUAUAUAUCACUACAGGAAAUACGGCUUUAGCGGCGUUUUUAGCGGCGUUUUAUAAAAAAACGCCACAAAAAUUAUACAUUAGCGUUGUUUUUGGUAAAGCGCCACUAAAAACAGAGUAAUAGCGGCGUUUUUGGCAAAGCGCCGCUAAAAACAUAGCAAUAGCGGCGUUUUUUGGCAAAGCGUAGCUAAAACCAGAGCAAUCGUGGCGUUUUUGGCAAAGCGCAGCUAAAAAACAAAGCAAUAGCGGCGUUUUUGGCAAAGUGCCGCUAAAAAUAGAGCAAUAGCGGCUUUUUUGGCGAAGCGCUGCUAAAAAAAGAGCAAUAGCGGCGUUUUUAGUAAAGCGCCGAGCGCCGCUAAAAACAGAACAAUAACGGCGUUUUUGGUAAAAUGCUGCUAAAAGUCAUAUAACCCCUAAAACCUUAAACCCCAAAAAAAUCAUAGACACUAGUCUAUAUAACUCCUAAAACCCUAAACCCAAAAAAACCUUAAACACUAAUCUAUAAUCCCUAAAACCCUAAACCCCAAAAACAUCAUAUGGAUGUUGAUAUGUAUAUACAUAGAUAUUAAUGUAAAAGCUUAUGUUCAUAAUAAAUUACGGAAGCAAUAGUUAAUAUUGAUUAAAUUUAUUUUUAGGUUUAAGGUUUAAUAUUUAAGAUUUAAGGUCUAUAAUUUAGGGUUUUAUGGUUUAAGGUUUAAUGGCCAUGGGUAAUAUGUUAAUCUCAAGUGAAUCAUAUUCAAUUAAAUCCUAAACCCUAUAAUUAAUAUAUAUUUAGGGGCAUAAGUAGGGGGUUGAAAGGGUCUUUGCCCUUCUAAAAUGAAAAAUUGUCCAUUUUGAUUUUUUGAAAUUUUUAAAAAUUUUAAAGGUAAAAUUACACUUCAUCCCUUUGAAUAAUGGAAAUUUUUUUAUUUAAUCGUUUCAAAAUUAUAAAAAUAUAUGCUAAACUUUAAUCGUUUAAAGUUUAGAUGAUAGGGGGUAAGGGUUAGAGGUUAAUGGGUAAAAGUUUAGGUUUUAUGUUUUAUGACUUAAGGUUAAGGGUUUAGAUUAAUGCUUUUAUUUUCAAAAAUAUUUAAUCUAAAUUAUUUGAUAUAUUUAAAUAUCAGAUUUUAAAAAAAUAUUGAUAAAUAAAUAAAAACAUUAAUAAUAAAUAAAAAUGAAAUAUAAAAAAAAAUAUAUAAAAUAGAUAUUAGUGGAUAAGCAAUAGCGACGUUUUUUAUAAAAACGCCACAAACAAUCAUUUUACUUAAAAACAAAAUGGCGCUUUUUUUUCCAAAUUCCCCCUCCUUCGAAACCCUAAAUUUUCCCCCUAAAAUUGGUAUACUCAAAACUCCCUUUUCACACACACCAUUUUCAUCAGUUUACCUUGGAACCCAUACGAUCCCUUCCCCUUUCCCUUUCACUUUGGUUUUGAAAAAACCCAAUUCUUAUAUUCAUUAUUCUGUUCUUAAUUUCGGUUUUGAUUUUUCUAUGUUCUUUCUUCAAAUUUUUAGACUCUCUGCAAAUUUUGAAGGACCUGCCUCUGGGCUCUGUACUUAAAUCCUAGUCUAAAGACAUGCAAGCAAGAAUGUAGAUUUUUGUUCAAACAGAUUCAAACAAUUAAAGAUACAAUGGAUUUGUAUUGCAGAAUGCGGAUUCAAGACAUGCAACUUGCAAGCAAGAAUCAAGAGUAUUUUUCAGGUACUUACUUGGAGUUUACGGUCUUUGCCUUUAUCGAUUUGGUCUUUGCCUCUUUGGAGUUUACGGUCUCUAAACUCUAAACCGAAAUAUGAUUGCUUUUAAGUUUCUUUUUUUUUGUAUGAUUUAGUGGAAUUAUAUAGUGGGGUGAAGUGAAAAACAAAAAAGAUUGGAACUUUGAGAAUGUUGCUUGAAUUGUCCUUUAUUUGCUGUGUUUUUUUUGUAAGUACAUAUAUCCUAAACUCGAUUUUGUGAACAUGAAGACUGAUUUCCUUAACCGAAAUGUCAAUGAAGGCUUCAGUGGAGGUGAAAGGAAGCGCAAUGAGAUUUUGCAGCUUGCGGUAAUAUGAUAUAAUGUCUUCUGUAAUUCAUUGUGGAAUUGUUUUGUCCUCAUUUGAUAGUUGCAGUGGAAUAUUCUUGUUUGAACUUAGAAUUGCUGUUCAUGGCUUACAUGCUAUUGCAGGAGCUAUUACUAUACACUAUUUUAAUAUUUUAGCUUUAUUAAUAAUUUUUAGAUAUGGAUGGAUGGCUAGGAUUAUAAGUUUUCCUUAGAGUUUUAAUAUAGGGCUAGGAUUUAAGUCUGGAAUCCUAGUAUAAAUUGGCUGUAAAUUAGAUUUACAGCCACCUUAUUAUUUUCUUUUAAUUAAUAGACUUAAGAAAUUAGAGGUUUUCAACCCUACGGUCUCCCCCCCCAGAAAUUAGAGCUUUUAGAAUCAAUUGCAGCAUGUAAGUUGCAGCCUUUUGUCAACUAACUAAAUAAUGAUGAUUGAAUUUUUUUAGCUAAAGAAUGACCAAUAACUUAAUAGACUAGUCCUGUUUUAGAAGGUAGAACUUGCUCGUUCUCUGUAUAUCUGUAUUGUAAUAGUCAUAUGAGCUCUUUUGAGUUUGGCAGCAACUAAUUGAACUUGGAUGGGGCACUUUCAUCAUUACAUGAGCAAAGUUAUUUUUGACUUGUACAAUACCAUUAUAACAGCCAUGAACUGGAAUUACAUGUGAUAUUAGUAACUUGUACCAGCCCUUAAGGCUUCGACUUUACUUAAAACAGGAAUUACAUGUGAUCUUUGGCAAUUUUGCCCAGUAGAAUUACGCUAAUUUUAUGGUUCUAUCUUUAAUUAAUGCAGGACUGAGCAAUACUUCCUUUACAGGUCAGUUUCCUGUUUCUCUGUCAUGAAUGGAUGUAUUUAUUGGAAUAUGGGACUAAGUAACUUAAUACAAAGAUGUUAUGCCUUAUAUCAUUUAGGUGUCAACUUUAUUUUAACGGAUGUUAUGCCUUAUAUGAUGCUAUAUGAGACAAAUAUAUUCCAUAGUUUUUCUUAUCCUUCUGUUUUUGUGCCGUUAUACUCUCUAAUCACAUGAUUUCCCUAAGCCAACCCCGUCAAUAAUGAUUGGUUGCUGAUGUAACAAUGUUUGAUUGCUAAUCACAUGAUUUUCACUUUUGUUUUCUCUUCAAAGUCUGCUGUUAAGUUUACAGUGAGCCAGUUAACUGCAUUUCUUUUUUCAUUUUUUACAACUUUUUCUGACCAACAAUUUAUUUGUUACAUAUAUGUUUUAUUUUAUUUUAAUCGUUAGUUGUAUGUCACUUCUAGGAUAAGCCAAAAUAAAGUGAAGAACUCAUUGUUUCCAAUUAAAAUUUUCUGACAUCUGCCACAAAUUUUAUGAAGCUUUCUUACGGAAACAUUAAAUAUUUUGGCCAAAUCCAUGGCCGCCAAUUAAAUUCACUCUUAAAUGGAAGAUGAUUUGAAAAAAAAGAAAACAAGCAAGCAAACAAACAAAUUAAUUCUUUUGCGAAUAUUGGAUCCAAACAAAUAGAAUUUCUUUUCUCAUGGAGUACCGGUAUUUUCUCGGAUUCUUUCUUCUUCUUUUGAUCAAUUUUACUUUGGUUUCGGCUGAGAUUAAUGGAUCGGUGCUUAAAAUGAGAGGAGGAACUUCUUCUGUUCAAUUUGAUCCCACUUCUGUUACCCAACUCUCAUGGCGCCCCAGGUAACUUCAAAUUCCAAUCCUUUUUGCAGUUCAGCUUAUUCAAAACUUUAAAAUUUACGAUUUUUUUUCUUGAAGGGCUUUUAUUUACAAUGGAUUUUUAUCAAGUGAGGAAUGUGAUCACCUUAUUUUUCUGGUAAGCAACCAUUUUUCUCUUUUGUUGUUGAAGAAUUUCAACAUAUAAAAAAAGAAAUUGUAUUAAUUUCAGGCUAAGGAUAAGUUAGAGAAGUCAAUGGUGGCAGAUGAUGUAUCAGGCCAGAGUAUUGAAAGUGAAGUUUGAACCAGCUCCGGCAUGUUUCUUAAGAAAGCUCUGGUAUAUAAAUGAAUUGUCUUUCAUUCCUUUUUUUAGCUUAAAGCUGUGAAAUUACUAGAAUUUAUGUUAAUUUAAGAGAGGAAUGCUGAAUUUAUGAGUCGAGUUGUUGAAUUUAGAAGUAAAAUGAAUUGAUCUAUUAUCCAUAUGAUCUUGUUUUUAUGUAAUUUUAUGCAAUCUUAUUCUUGCUUUGUUUAAGAAAGGAUGAAGCAUCUAGCUGUUUAUAAUUAUGUCAUUGUAUCAGUACUUUCAUGCUUUUUUUCCCUUCUGUGGGAUACUGAUCAUAGCUGUUUGAGAUUGUUCUAUUUUUGAGAACAUGUAUUUGAUAUAGACUGACUAUAUGAACUGAAAUUUGCGUGGUGCUUGUGAGAUUUUAAUCACUUGAAUGGUACAUCAUCUGAUAUUUGGUCUUGCGGAGUUAUUCUUUUUGUUCUCAUGGCUGGUUAUUUGCCUUUUGAUGAGCCAAGCCUUAUAGGCUUGUAUAAGAAAGUAAGUACUCUCCAGAUUUGGCCAGUCUUGCUGUCCAUCAUGGUUUUCAUCUGGUGCUAGGAAUUUGAUUAAGCGUAUUCUUGAUCCAAACCCUCUUACCGUAAGUUUCAAAUUCAAUUCAUCCUAUGAAAAUUUGUGAUUACAUGCAAUCUUUGAUCAAAAUAUAAGCUUUAGCGCGUGCAUUUUGGUUGAAAUUCUGUAUGUUCUUUUUUGCAGUGUAUAACUAUUCCUGAAAUUCUACAAGAUGAAUGGUUCAAGAAAGGGUACAAGCCACCAAAAUUUGAGCAAGAUGAGGAUGUAAAUCUUGAUGAUAAUAUCUUAUAUUUUACAUAGUUAUGAUAUCUUUAUAUUUAAUCUAAUUUUUAUUAUUUAUUUUAGUUUUGAUUAUAAAUUUUUAUUUUUAUUUUAAUAUUUUUAGUUAAAAUUUUAAUAGAAAAUUUUAUUCUUCUCUAUAUUUUGAUAAUGAAUUUUAAUUUUUUUAUAUUUUUCAUGAUUUUUAUAAUAUUUUAUUUUUUUUUAAAUUUUAGUACCUUUAGCGGCGUUUUUGGGUAAAGCGCCGCUAAAGGCUAUGCCCUUUAACGACGUUUGCGAAAAAAGCGUCACUAAAGGUCAUGACCUUUAGCGGCGUUUUUUUAAAUAAAUGCCACAAACUUUAAUGGCGUCAUCUAUAGCGGCGUUUUUUGCGGCGCUUGUGAAAACGCCACAAAUAGUUUUAGCGGCGCUUUUAGACCUUAAAAAACGCUGUUAAAAGUCAAUUUUGCUGCAGUGUAUGCUCAUGCCUUUAGUGUUAACUUUUUUUCAUCUGUUACACAUAUUGCAUUCCAUGAAAUUCUUUACCAUUUUUAUGCCAUACAAUUGAUUGCUUUGAUUAACUUGUUAGUCUUAGUAGUUGUUGAAAUUAUAAUUGUUAUUUACAAAUUAUCUUCAUUUUACUUUGAUUAUUCCUCAAAAUGAAUUAAUGGUUUUUGAUCGCAGGUACCAUGUUGUCUUCACGAGGAAAGAAAACCGCCGUACCUGCUUCGAAGAAGAGGAAGGGAGCAUCAUCUUUCACGAGUCCAACCACGAAAAUUCGUCACCCUCUCCUGCAGUUCCCCCGAGGGCCCCAAGAAGAGCUUUUCCAAAUACUUUGGGCCUGACCUUUAAUUGCGGGCCACUGCAUCGAUUGGGCUGCCGUAGAACAAGUUCUGUUGGCUGAUACGAUUCAGGCCCUCCUAACCACUGACCCUUGGGAGCUGUUCUUUGGGAUCAUCGAACCAACAUUCCUUGAGCUCGCGAUGGAACUAUGCUUAACGUUCCAUCUUCAGACUGUAAUGAUGAAUUACGAUGAUCCCGGCACGGUCCAAUUUCGCCUACGCGGGUUAGUCUGCCAGCUAAGCAUCCCAGAGUUCAAUGCUGCACUGGGCUUAUAUACGGAGGAGUUCAAGGAGGAGAAUGAACUACAUGCUCUCACUCUCCACAUACAUUUCUCUCCCUCAAAGUGCUGGCACACUUUGGCCCCUGGCGCAGCCUCCUACAAUCCUAGCUACUCUAAGGCAUCAGUUCUCCCACCAUCCCAGAGGUACCUACACGCCAUUUUGGCCUACACGAUUACAGGGAGGCGAGAGAGCACUAGCGUCGUCAACACUCAAGAUGCCUACUUCUUAUGGUGUAUGUCACACGGCCACGUCAUCGACCUUGCCUAUUUCAUCGCCCUCGUGAUUCAGCACUAGACGGAGCGGCAUAGGAAAGGGGUCAUCUCCAUUGGCCCUUAUGUUACUCAGUUGGCUCGACACUUCGGGCUCCUCAGCCCCGUGGCCCAAGAAUCAUCCCUUACCCUCAUCGACCAGAUGUCUCCACAAGGCAUCUCGAGUAUGUUUAGCAUGAGGAUGAUCGAGAGGCGCCGAGGAACCUACCCUCCCCAAUAUCGUCUUGCCCAAUCUACUGAGAAGGAAGCCUACAAGGACAUUCCUGAUGAUGUCUCUCCACAGCACGAGGACCCACCGACUCAGCCACCACCACCUUCUCGUUCAGUUCAUACGGCGGCUUCAUAUGCUGACAUCUCUAAGUGCCUCACUAGAUUCGAGCAAUAGUGUUUUCAACGAUUUGACAACAUUGAUGCUACUCUACAGCAGAUUUGUCAGCACCUCCACAUCUCAUCGCCAAACUCACCUCGCGAACCAUCCAGCGAUGAACAUGUUUAAAAACAUUUAUUUAUUAUUUUAUGUUUUUAAUUUUUAUUAAAACUAAUUUUUAUUUUUAUUAUUAGAUUUUAAAAUUUUACUUUUAAUUAUCAAUUUCAGUUAUUUCUUUAUGAGUAAUUAUUCUUCCUAAUAUCCCCUAAAAAGUUCUUGAUUUUAUCACAGUUAUAUAGAGCUCUUAAGCUCAUCAUUGCAUAGGAACUAACAACUCCACCGGGAAAGGUUCUUCACGACUGCCAUGUCCUGAUCGACCAUGACCAUAGCUACCACUAGAUAUAAUAUUCUUUUGGCACAGGACUUAUGGACUAAUAAACCUCUACGACCGCUAGAGUAUCCUCAUCCACUCUCGAACCGAUUACUCUCCAAAACUCCAGUUCGAGGAAUUCAUCAUACAAGAAGUUUCACUUCUCUCCCUAUCUUAUUUUUAUACUCUAAUAUCUAUCUUUGUACAUUGAGGGCAAUGUAAAUCUUAAGUGUGGGGGCGUAUUUAUUUAAUUAUCAGAAAAAUCCCUGAAUAAUUACCUUGUUCUUUUGAAAAGCUCUCAUAUCAUAUUUAGGAUAAAUUUUGAUUGAUUUUUUAUUUUUGUAGAUAUAUCUUGAAUUAAAACAUAUGCAUUUAUUCAUUGAUUGUUUAAACUUUAAGACAUUAGAGAAUCAAGCAUGAUAAGUUGAUUUUUAAGAAUUUAAAAUCUUAGGUUGUUUCCCCAAAGUUUAGGUAUUACUUUGAGUUGGAAUUGACAAGUUUUAAACAUCAAAAAGUCAUAAUUUUUCUGAUAUUUUUGAGCCUUUUGAGCAUUUAUUAAUUCUUUCAUGCUCACUUUUAUUAUUGCUUUGAGUGCGUCAGUAUUGAACUGUUAUUCUAGAAUUUACUUGAUUAUGCAUGUCGAGACCACACCAUUUGAUUUGAUAUGUCAAAAUGAUUAAGGCAUUAGGAUUAACCCACUCAUGCCAUGAAAAGCCUACCUCCACGAUUAACCCCUAGUAAACCCCCUUGAGCCUAACAAGCCAUUGCUUGUAUUACUCUUAAUAUUAACCUUUAACCCAUUAUUGUUGAAAUCCCCUAAAUUAAUCUCUAUUUUGUCAAGAUUUGAGUUGAAUAAAUUGUUUAGCUAUGUCUUGUUCUUAAUAGUUAGUCUAUGUUAUUUAACUUGUUUUUAAAAAAAAAACUAUGUAUAUACAUUAGUAAUUCCAUAUUCUGAGAAGAAGCUCUGUUGUACGUAAGUGAUGAUUAACUCUUUUUCUAGUUAGGUAAUUUUUCAAUUCAAUCUCGAUUCUAGCCCUUUCUUUUAGCUUGUGACCACACCCCCUAACCAAGUCUCAUUACAAUCCCCUAAAGACCUUUUGAUUGAUGUUUCAUCUCAAUUUAUCAGUUGUGGAGAUUUGAUUUUCAUGCAAGCCUAUGGUAAUGACUUUUCAGUAUUGACUAUUGAGUGCUUCAUUUAUUGUCCUUAAAACACCUCGAGUCAUUUGAGUGAAUCUUUAGUGAGGAUGUGAAACUCUGUGAUAUUCCGAAUCAAAGGUAAUUACUUAAAUGAGGAGAGACGCCUAUGUUUUCAAGAGAAAAUGUUGAACUUGGAAUGUUUAAAACUUUUAUGUUCUUUUAGUUGAAUUCUCAAUGUAUGAUUACCUAUGAAUUAUUUUGAGAUAUUAUUGGUAGAAAUUAUAAAUUGAGAAGAAUUGAUUCUGAUUAUGAGUUGAGAAUUUUGCUUGAGGACAAGCAAAUGCUUAAGUGUGGGGGUGUUUGAUAAACCGUAAUUUAUACAUAUUUUUACCCUAUGUUUAAUGCAUUUUAUGGAUGAUUUCCUAUUAGAAUUGGUGAAUUCGAUGCUCUUAAUACUUUAAUUUCAUGUUUUAUACUUAGGAGAGCAUAAGAGAGCGAAAGGAACGAGAAACGGGCCAAAACUAGAGAAAAUGGUCCAAAGUACGAAAUCAACACGGCCUGGACCUCCUCACACAGGCAGACCAUCACGGCCUGUCAAUUUGGCAGGCUCAAGCACGGCCUGAAGUAAUCGCACAUGGGCGUGUCCCUGCUGAGCCCAAGUUGAGUCCAAUCGAAAAAGGCUAAUUUUUGGGGCUCUUAGGCAUUCCAAAGCUUAUAAAUACACCCUAGAGGAGGAAGAAAAGGGAGGCACAGAAUAGCGAGUAAGGAAUUACUCCAAGGAAGCAGAUUGAUCCAUCUCAGAAGCCGGAUUCACCAUAAAGACUGAAGAUCUCUCCUCAAUUUCCUUUUCAGGAGUUUUGGGUUUUCUUUAUGUUUUUUAUUCUUUAUUAUUCUGAGAUGUUUUCUUAUUUAGUUAUGAAUUAAAACCCCUAAAUACCUAAAGGGAAUGAAACCUAAGACAAAUCUUGUUAUUAUUUUCUGAAUUGAAUGAUAAAUAUUUAACUUGUUCUGAAUUAUGUGUUGUUAAUUCUUGUUUUGAUAUCCCAGGAUACUAAUUCAAGAUAAGCUCUUAUUCAGAGGAGGAAUAGACCCUGUCUAAGAGUACAUUUGUUAUAAUUAAGCAGAGUUGAUUGCGCGCCUAGACAUAGGGUGACAAGAUUUUACCGGAUUAGGGUGAAACCUAAUAAGGGGAUCCAUAGAUCGAGUUAAUGCAACCCUAAAGUGUUAAUUAGAGAAAAGUCUCAACUAUUCAAUCUAGGGAUUAGAUGUUAGUAGUCUUGAACAGGGAUAAUAACAUAACUUAGGGAUCUCUACGGAACAAGUUAAAUGAAUAAAUAGUCCGAUUCGGAGCCAGAAUAACAAGUACAGUCUAGGUGGAUUUUUCCUUAGGUAUUGUCUUAAUUCAAUCGAUUUUCCCAAAAACAAUUCCCCAAUUGUAUUCUCUGUGAGUUCUUAGUUUAGAUAAUUAGUUAGUUAAACAAAAACCUCUUUAUUCUUAGGCUAGAUAAUAAAAAGACAGUCAUUACUAGUACUUUUAGUUCCUUUGGGUUUGACAAUCCUGUCUUGCUAAAACUAUAAUACUGUUCGAUAGGUACACUUCCAUACAUCGUGAUAAUAGUUAGUUUCAAAAACAAUUAAUUAUAAAUAUUUAAAACCUAUCACAAAAUCACGCGAUCAAAAUGCUGCCAUGCAUGGGUUGGUCAACUCGAGAGUGAAGAUUGAUUUUUAGACUCCGGUUGCAUCAACCACAUGUGUAAUAGAAAAAAACAUUUUGUAGACUUCAAUAAGCAAUUUGUAGACAAUGUGAAGCUAGGAAAUGAUGCUACCUUGGUGGUGAAAGGUAAAGGGAAUGUGCGUCUACAUAUCAACAAUCAAAUACAGGUAAUAACAAAAGUUUUUUAUGUGUUUGAUUUGAAAAAUAAUUUGUUAAGUGUUGGUUAGCUUCAAGAGAAGGGCUUAGCUGUGCUUAUUCAACACAACAACUGCAAGGUUUAUCAUCCUGAAAAGGGUGUUAUCAUGAAAUCUGUGAUGUCUUCAAAUCGCAUGUUCAAAAUUGCAACAUUGUCUCUACCAUCUGGUACAACUUGCUUCAAUACAAUAACUGAAGAAUUUGGCCAAUUAUGGCAUUGCCGUUAUGGUCAUCUGAGUUUCAACGGACUCAGCACUCUACAGCAAAAGGAAAUGGUUUUUGGUCUACCACAGUUGACAAAACCAUCAAGAGUGUACAAGGAAUGUCUGAAUGGAAAGCAAUAAUGAGAUCCUUUUCCUAAAAAGAGUUCAUGGGGAGCUGAGCUACCACUGCAAUUGAUUCAUUCUGAUUUAUGUGGCCCUAUUCAACCAAUGUCUAACAGCAACAAGAGGUACUUCAUCACUUUCAUUGAUGAUUAUAGUAGAAAGACAUGGUUCUAUUUUUUACAUGAGAAAGUAGAAGCAUUUAAAUUCUUCAAAGAAUUUAAAGCUAAGGUCGAACUUGAAUCGGGUCGGCAAAUUAAGUGUCUCCAAAUAGAUUGUAGCGAUGAAUUUACUUCAUUAGAAUUUUCAAAUUUUUGUGAUGAAAAUGGGAUAAAAAGGCAGCUUACUACUCUAUAUUCACCAUAGCAAAAUGGUGUUGCCGAGCGAAAAAAUUGUACCAUUAUGAAAUGGUUCAAAGCAUGAUGAUCGCAAAAGGUAUCCCCAAAACUUUCUGGCUGGAAGCUGUCAAUUAGGCAGUACAUCUUCUCAAUAGAAGUCCGACAAUAGUAGUGCAGAACAAGACGCCAGAAGAAGCUUGGAGUGGUGAAAAACCUUCUAUGGGAUAUUUCAGGGUCUUUGGAUGUGUGGCUUACGUGCAUGUGGGAGAUAAAUUCUAAACUAAAUUGGAUCAACGUAGUGUAACCUGCGUUUUAUUGGGAGUUAGUGAAGAAUUAAAGGCGUAUCGACCCUAUAAUCCAAACAAUGGAAAGAUAAUUAUUAGUCGAGAUGUUGUAUUUGAAAAGGACAGAAGUUAGAAUUGGGGAGAAGGAUUCACAAGCUCAAUUCAAUCUGAGUUGGAUUGGAAUGCCAGUAAAAGUAAUCUGAAAUGGAUGAUGAUCAGGAGGAGAAUGAAAUAGAGGAAGAUAUUGAUGACAAUUAUGAUGAAGUUGCUAAGCAAUAAGAAGCCUAAGGACAACAACAUUUAAAAAGGCAACACAAUAAACCUUCUUGGAUGCGAGAUUAUGUGACGGGUGAAGGGCUGUUUGAUGAUGAUUUUGAAUCACACCUUACUAUUAGCAAAGGAGAUGACCCUGUUCACUUUGAAUAAGGCGAAAAGAAUCCAAUUUGGAGGAAAGACAUGAAGGAAGAAAUUGAAGCUAUAGAAAGAAAUGGAACAUGGGAUUUAACUGAGCUUUCAGGCGGUGUUAAAAAUAUUGGAGUCAAGUGGAUCUUCAAAACUAAACAUGAUGAGAAUGGAGAUGUCAGUAAGCAUAAAGCACGGUUGGUGGUUCGUGGAUAUACUCAAGAAUAUGGUAUAGAUUACACGGAGGUGUUAGCUCCUGUAGCUCACAUGAAGACUAUUCGAUUGGUCAUUGCCAUAGCUGCUCAUCAUGGAUGGUCCAUUUACCAAUUGAAUGUCAAAUCUUUUUUCUUCCAUGGAGAAUUAACUGAAGAUGUUUUUGUUGAACAACCACAAGGGUUCGAGAAAAGAGGAAGAAGGAAAAGUAUACAAGCUGAAGCAUGCUUUAUAUGGCUUAAAACAGGCUCCUCGAGCUUGGUACAGUUGUAUUGAAGGAUAUUUUCUUAGCCAUGGAUUUGAAAAGUGAGUAUGAACCCACCCUAUUCACUAUGAUGGAGAAAAAGAGUGUUAAGAUAGUAAGCUUGUAUGUAGAUGAUUUGAUUUAUACAGGAAUAAUGAUGAGUUGAUGAUGGAGUUCAAGAGGUCAAUGAAGAUAGAAUUUGCUAUGGCUGAUAUGGGAAAAAUGAAGUACUUCCUCGAUCUUGAAGUAGCAUAGAAAGUUGAUGGUAUUUUUGUGUGCCAAAAAAAGUACAUGAUAGAUCUUCUAGAGAGAUUCAGAAUGAGCAACUCAAAAUCAGUUCAUAAUCCAAUGGUUUCAGGAAGUAAAUUAAGCAAAGAUGAAGAUGGAAAAGGAGUUGACAAGACACUCUACAAGUAGAUGGUCGAAAGUCUAAUGUACGUAACUACUAUACGGCCAGACAUCAUGUAUAGUGUGAGUCAAGUGAGUCGUUUUAUGGAAAAUCCAAAAGAGCUUCAUUUUUCAGCAGUAAAGCAAAUCAUACGCUAUCUUAAAGGAACUUGUGAAUUUGGAUUGUUCUAUCAGAGAAAUGGAGGGAAGGAUCUAAUGGGUUAAACAGAUAGUGAUUAUGUUAAUGACGUCGAAGACAAAAAAAGUACAUCAGGCUAUGUAUUCAUGUUGAGUGAGGCUACUAUCUCACGGAGUUUGAAGAAGCAGCCAAUGGUGAGUCUAUCAACAACUGAAGCAAAAUUUAUAGAAGCAACAAGCUCAUGUCAAGCUGUGUGGCUCAGACGGAUACUUGAGGCAAUGGGAAGAAAUCAAACAAGUCCUACGAUAAUAUAUUGUGACAAUAGUUCUGCCAUAAAGUUAUCAAAGAAUCCAAUUAUGUAUGGGAUAAGUAAACACAUUGAUGUACGGUUUCAUUUUCUAAGAGAUCUUACAAGGAAUGAAACAAUUGUGCUGCAACACUGUAAUUCUCAAGAACAAGUAGCUGAUGUCAUGACCAAGCCACUCAAGUUGGAAGAUUUUGUUCGAAUGCGAAGCAAGUUAAGAGUUGUAGCAAAUGUAAACUAAAUGUUUGGGAUAAUUCAGUUUAAUGGUGGGAGUAUUAGAUAUGUUUGAAUAAGUCUCCAAUUGUUACUGGAGGUUGUUAGCUAUUUUCUUGUUUCUAGUUGUUAGCUGCUUCCUUAUUCUUAGUUGAGUAGUUGCUAAAAAUCAGCAAAGUAUUUUGCUGUUGUUUGUUAGUAAGCUUGACUAUAUAUAUAUGUGUGUCAAGAACAUGAAUAAAACGUAGUAGUACUUUCAAUCAAAUACUUUAGCACAUGUUUUUCUUUCUAAUAAUGCCAACCAUGUCUGGUGGCAGUUAAUUGGGUUAUAUGGUUUCCCUGAAUCGUCAGGGAAGAUUUCUAGUUGAGAAUUGUUACGGUCAUUGGCUCAACGCACUUUGCUUCCUUGGGUAAGUAUUGGUGACUUCAAUAACUUACUCUCUGUUAAUGAUAAAUGGGGUGGCCUGAAAUAUCCGACUAGGUAGUUGAAUGGGAAUCAGGACUAUAUUGUGGACUAUCACCUUAUUGAGGUUCCUCUGGUUGAAUCGGGAUUUACUUGGGAAAGGGGUCAAGGCAUUGAUUUGUUUGUAUUUGAGUGGUUGGACAGAGCAUUCGUUAAUUUGGCUUGGAUGCAGUUAUUUUACUAUUUUAAGUUGCAUAAUUUGUUUAGAGUAUGUCUGACCAUAAUAUGGUUCUCCUUGUUGGCAAAACUUCGCUCCCAAUGCGAGGUAUGAGGCGAUUUAGGUUUGAAAACUCUUGGCUUUGUAAAAGGAUUCGAUAGUGUGGUGUAGGGGCGUUGAGUUGGAGUAGUUUAGAUUUGGAAGGUAUUGAUGAGCGACUGUGUGCCUGUAGUGAGGCGUUUUAGGUUUGGCAUCAAUCGGUUGGGUCCAACUUCAAGCCUUAUAUUGAUGAUCUUAAGAGGCAUAUUGUAGUUAUAAAAGCUUGUUGGGUAAAUGAUCGGUCUAUAAUUGAGUUGGUUCCAAUUGAAUUGGCAAUCUAUUGGCGCCAAAAGGCUAAGGUUUUAUGGUUGAGCCAUGGAGAGGUGAAACACUAAGUAUUUCCAUACCCAAGCUUUGAAACGUGGCUGGUUUAAUCAUCUAUCUAUGUUUCUGGAUGAGGUGGGUCAGCCUUAAACUAGCGAUGAUGGUAUGUGCGCAAUUGUAGAGGGUUAUUUUUUGGAACUAUUCUUCUGUUUCCUUUUUUUGUUCGUUACAAUUCUUUACACGACUUUAUAUUUAUGGUUUUUACUUUCUGAUUUUUCCAUUCAUUCUCCUUGUAAUUGUUAUCACACCAUUUCUAAUUUGUGUUGCUUAGUAUGGCACAUUGAAGAUACCGUACCGAGAUGGCUGUUUUUGUUAUUACUAUGAAGCAUAAAAAAUUAUGCAAGUUAAUACAAUCUUAAAAGCGAAUCAACGAGUGUUGUUCUACUUUUUUAUAGGAACUGAAUGUCUAAUAAACCUCACAAGAUUUUUGUGCAUUACUAAGUCCCCCAAGUCUUGAAUAUCUCUAUAAAAAAUUCACUUAUAUGGUAUCAAUUAAGGUGACAGUUUACAUAAUUUAUAGGUUUUUUUUUUUGUAAAUAUGUUUUUAUAUAUUUUUAUAAACUAUCAAGUACUUUUCUUCUCUUCUCAUUUUUUAUCAUUCAAACUUAAUAAAAAUUAUUUUCUCCCUCUGAAAUCGUAUAACAUUUCAGCAACAAGGCGCCGUCAUUUAGCUAGUAGUCAAACUAUAUUUUAUCACAUAAUAAUUAAAAUUAAUUAAUAAUUAUUAAUGGGAAAUAUAACAAAUUUGUUUAAUUAUUAACCUAAGAGUAUAUAUAAAAGAUUAGUGACAUAUAAUCCAAAAUGCGUAUUUUGGAGAUUAAUUGAACACAUAUAAAUAUUAAGGUUGAAGCCUUUAAAGCUCAUAUUCAUACAUUACAACCAUUAAAUAUUUUAAACAUAAUAUAAAUACAUGAAUAUAUCAAAAUACACAUCAUAUAAAAUUUUAACCUCCUAAAUUUAUUUGAAAUAUAUAAAGCUUUUCUAAGCAGGAUUGGAAAAAUGAAAACCGUAAGAAUACAAAAUCACAAGUAAUCAUAACUAAUAACCAUUCAUUUGGGUUGCCCUGGUAACACAAUUUCCUUCUGGCUACCAACAGUGAGGAGGGCAUGUCUUACUUUUACCACCACUUGGAUGACAACCAGGAUCACGUGGAGGACAUGAAGGUGGUUUUCCUCCACCUAGAUUUCUAUGUAUCACUUCAUUCCUCUCCUUCACUGCAAUUUUAACCCCAAAUACCAACACAUCGUAUUCAAUAAAAAGAAAAAAAACAAUAAAAAAGAGAUCAUAAAACUAAGUAAUGAAGAAUAAGUUCUAUAUAUAGUUCUAAUUCAACUUACCUGUUAAGUGAGUGUUUGUUGUUGAAGAUGGAGGGCAGAGUAGAGAAAAUGAUAGCAGUAGGACUAGUAUCAAAUGGACCGCUGAUUUCUUGUAGAGCAUCUUUCGUUCCUCAGAAUCUGAUUUUUGUGCUGAUGUUUAUGUUUGCUUCAUCCGACUUUAUUUAUUUUGGAGGAGAAACAAGACUUUGGAAGUCAAUUAGUUUUAUUAUUAUUAUUAUUGACAAUUCCUCGUUAAAAAGUCAUUGGUUUUAUUUUACUGAUUUGUUUAUUUGCUUCCAAAAUCAAACUCAAAGGCUUAUUAUUUGUAUUCAUAAAAACAAAAACAAAGUUUAUUACUACUUAAUAUUAUUGGUGCAAUGGUAAAAUACAUUUCAUUCUUAAGGAAAAACAUGAGUUCAAAUUUUAAAAAGAAUAUUAAUAAAAAAGACAACCACAAAUUUCAAAUAUCAACCCUAAAACUGAAAUAAAAUAAUAUUAAAUUAAAGUUUUAAUUAUAUUUAUAUUUUAUUAAUAAAUAAAAAGAAGCUACUUUAAAAGUCAAGAUUAAAAUAUUAAAAUUAGUUGAAGAAGAUUUUAAUGGUAACUUGUUUAAUAGAUUUUAUUCUCUUGGCAGUAAUAUAAUGCUUAUAUUGACAAAGAAUCCUAUUCAUGUUUUUAAUGGUUACUUAAGAUAAUUUUUAUUGAAAUAUCUAUAAAAUUUAUUGAAAUAAUAACUUAACUUAUAUACUUUUUAUCUAAUAAAAUAUAGUUAAUAAGCAAGUCUAUGUGUUAUGCGAACCUAUGUGAUGUGUGAACCUUAGGCUCAUGUGAGCUUUUAUGUUAUGCCAACUUUGUAUAUGUGCUAAAUAGCUACACCUGUUUAUUUAUAUAAAAAUCCUAUAUAUAUAUAUAUAUGAUGUAACACUUCAAACUCAGCCUAGACAUUAGGAUCAAGUCUGAAAAGGUACAUUAACAUUAUUAGGAAAACCAACUUUUAUAAACACAGUUAAAAAAAUGUCUAGCAGAUUAUAACAUUCCUAAAAACCUAGUCAAUAAUUCAACAAUCUUCGAAAGUUCUAAUACGAAUAAAACAUUGAAUUACAGGUAACAUAAAAAGUGAUAAAGCAGAAUGACCGAGCUUCCAUUACGCCGACCUGAUCAAGACUGUGAGUUACCUAUAAUUCCAUCAACAGACAAAAUGAGUUGAUAACUCAGUGUGUAACUGAUAUAAAUUCAAUUAGAAGCAUAAAUAUAAUAGUAUUUUCCUAAUCUCAUGUUCAAAUCAGAAUAAGAGGAUAUCCAGUAUAGUAUUAACCAAUCAAAGGAAUAUCAGAGCAAUUCAAGUUCAAAUACAAAAUAGAUCAGAAAUAGAUGCAGUUUUUCCUACCCCAUCUGAUACACACCAUCUCCGACCAACCCAACACACCAUUAAGGGAAUUUAAUACCCAUUUAACCCUACACACCACAUAGUGUCGGUUCAACACGUUGAACAUGAUUGUAGACUAGCUGUCAGAUCAAAUUGUGAUAAGAUACCAAAUUCACAUAUAAAUUGUGGCUUAGCCACUAAACCAGAACAAAGCACUUCCUCCUUUACACAAUUCCAACCCAAUGCAAAUGCAAAUUACAGAUGUCAGAUAUCAAGGACGUAUACACAGUUAAGCAAAUACAAUUCAUAGUCAGGUAGUAUAGAUCAAUAUCAUCAACAGUCAUCACAAUUAGUAUACAUUUAGAUAGUCAAUUAUUUAGUCUCAUAUCAUUAGAUAGCAAUUUAUACGGUAUAAUUCAGGUUAUAUGUACACUAUAGAGGCCUACACUCGCGUCAGACGAUGCUUACGACCCCAAGGAUAAAUCUCAUUUCUAGCCCACACGUCAUGUGAGUUCACACGGCCUAAAUGACUGGCUUGUAUGGCUCUACACAGCCUGGCACACACCCGUGUUGUCUACCCGUGUAGUCCUAAAUCAUGAAAAGUGAGUCAAAUGACCUAGACACACAUCUGUGUGGUCCUUAAUGACAAACAGUGAGUCACACGGCCUAGACACACAUCCGUGUCUCUGGCCCGUGUGGUCUUUAAUGAAAAACAGUGAGUCACACAGCCUGCCACACGACUUAACACACGGCCUUGUGACACACAUGACCUACCACACGGUCGUGUGGCAUCGACAGACGUGGUUUCCAGCGUCUGAAUUUUGUAGAGUCAAAUUUUUGGUACGCACCUAAUGUAGUUUUUGGCGUAGGAGCAAUACAGAGGAACCCCGAAGCCUAAAACGACCAUCCAAUAACCAAUUCAAAAACUAUUCUUAAUGAACACAAGAAUUAAUGUAUAAAACAAACUCUUAUGUCGAAAAAAUUUGACACAACUUGCCCACUCGGAUUUCAACACUCACCUUGCAGGAAAUUGCAAAAAUGGAACUAACGUGUUGGUGAAACAAUUCUCGCAAGAUCCUUGCCUAAAAAGAAAGUCAAACGUACGCUUAAAAUAGAAAAUUUAAGUAGCAAAAUAAUUUCAACCAAAGAACAAAAACAACCAAAAACUCGUAGGAAUGAAAAGAAUUUACGAUAGAACUUACACAGAAAUCUUUCAACGACGCAACGAACAACGCAAGACUCUCAAUUGGUCCUGUUAGACACUUUUUAGACGUAUCAAAAAGAAAAAAUAAAAAGAAAUAAGAAUGAAAAGGGGAAGGAAAGAAGAGAAAGGAAGGAGAAUGGAAAAGGGAAAAGAGAGAGAAAAACGCUAAAUUCUAUUUUAACUACCAAUAAGAUUUCUAACAUUUAGCAAAAAUAUUCCUUAACGCAUACACCAGGACUCAAACAUAAGAUCAAGUGGAAUACGAAAGCUUAACCAGUGAAUCAGCAGACUUGUUCUUGACACCGAUUCACACAUAAUUAAACCUUUGUUGAUAGUUUAAGGAUAAAGGUUAACUUAGAAUAAAAUAGCAAAAUUUUCCAAAUAUGCGACUCGAACCCCUGACCCCGAACACAUAAACAGUAAUACAUAGCCACAGACACAAAGAUUUAAUUAUGAUGGAAUUCAACAGUCAAGCAUUCAAAUUUUUAGAGCGAUACAUGUGACACUGUUUAUUUUUAGUCGCACAAGUUAUACGUAUAUAUGUGAAUAUUGCUAUGAAUGAAUGCAUGAUAGCAUGCCAGAUGAUGAUAGUAAGUGACAAAUAAAUGCGCUAAAUAAGCAUAGUAUCAAAUAUAGAUAAUGAGUAUGAUGUGAUAAGUAUAUGUGCAUAAUACAUGAAAAUGAGAACGAAGGACGGAGGAGUUCCAUAAAAGACAAUGGGAAUUUAAGUCCACAAUGAAAGUUAGUACUGCAUGAAGUAGGCAACAAUGUCAUCAAAAACGGAUAAGCCAAGAUGGUAGAUUAAUAAACUUCUGAAGAUGGUAGGUUAAUAAUAUAUAUAAUGCUAAAACUUAAUAUCUAAUUUAUACACUUUAAUUUUUUAUUUAAUUUGAUUCCUCUACUUGUAUAAGUUGAUUCAACAUUAUUUUUAUUGUUACAUGAUUACUAAGUGAUUUUUAUUUUUUUAAAACGCCAUAUUAGUAGAUUCAGUAGAAGAAUUUUAACGGUGAUGACUAUUGCAUUUGAAUUUUUAAAUUCAGAAUGUUGAGAGACUAGAUUCCUGAAAAUAUAAGUAGGUGACUAAAUUUCAAAUGUAUAAAAUGUAUAAAAACUUAAAAUAUCUUUUAACCUUCAAUUUUUUGUUAGGUGAAGCUGAAAACUAUUCUAAUAUUUUUAAAGGUAAUGAUAUAUCCUACACUAAUGAAGAUGUGAUUUAUCACAUCGUAAUUAAAACUAAUUAUAAGGGGAAGCAUAACAAUGUUUAAUUAUUAACCUCAGCUACAUACAUUAGAUUAGUGGCAUAAACUCAAUUAAAGAGUAAUGACACAUGUAUAAAAUACUAAUGUUAAAGCUAAUAUAAUUAGACAUUACAAUGAUUAUAUACUACAAACAUAUUACACGGAUAUAUCAAAAUAUAUAUCACAUAAAAUUUUAAUAUCCUAAACUUAACUAAUAUAUAUCACAUAAAAUUGUAAAUGAAAAACAGUAUAAAUGUAACGCUCUACAUUUUUGGAUUUUUGAAUGUGUAUUUUUGUCGAGUAAUUUAAUUUGGUAUGAUUGUUAAAUACUUUGGAUGUUUGUUUUAGGUCUUAUGUUUGAUUUCUUUAUUCUGGAUUUAUCUCUUAAAUUUUGGCUUUAUGUUAAUUUUGAGUAUUUGGGUUUAAAUCAAUUUCUUUGUUGGAUUGUUAAAAUGGUGAACCUAGAUAUUUAAUGGUUAAGCCUCAACGUAUUCUUGUGUUUUUUAGUUUAAAUCUCGGUGGGAGCAUAAGAAAUGUUUUUGUUGCUUGUUUUGCUAAUGGUUGAUUUCGUUUUGAAUUACAAGGUUAAUGGUUAGAUUACAGUAGGAUGUUAGGGGGAUAAGUUGUUAGCAAAUAUAUUAUCUUUUUUUUACUUAAUUUUCAAAUGCCCUAUAUAUGUUUCCAAAAGUAAGCGUCCCAAUCCCCCUUGUUUUCAUGUUCUAUUUUGCUUCCCUAAUGUUGAUAUUUUAUUUUAUUUUCUCCCUUCCUAUUUUCUUUGGUUUUUUUUCUUUUUUUUCUUGUGGAUUCUUGGCUGCCAUUCAUUAAACUCUAUUGUGUUCUUUUGAAGGGUAAGUACUAUUCGAUUGUUUUUAUGGUUGUCUUGUUCUUAGCUUGUCUUUGUAACAGGCCGUUUUUAAUCAAAUCGAAACAGUGGUUUCGGGACCACAAAUUUGAAGUCAAAAUAAUUAUUGAAAAUUUUGUUAAGAAAUUUUAUCAUUUGAAUGCUUAAUUUGGUAAAAAAGACUGACUCACGUAAAGUGUAAAAGUGAUGUUCUAUUAGCUAAGGUGUCUAAUAGCUAUGGAACCUUAAAGUAGAGGUCCUUAUGUGGUAAAUAAACCAUUUUUAGUGUUAAUGGGCAAACAUGGACAUGCAUAAAUGAGUUUUAAUGGUUUAUAUGAAAGGUUAAUAUUGUAAUUUGGUUAUUAAAGUAAAAUAAAUAAAACAAAAUCAAAAUGUUAAAGGCUAUCAUCUUCCUAGCCGAUUUUUAGCAAAGAAGAAAGCUAUUUUUAGGGCUUGAAGCAUUUGGUCAUCUCCUAGCUCAAUUGUAAGUCCGUUUUUGUUCCAUUUUUAAUGAUUUCUAUGUUUUUGAGAUUGUUGCAACUAGGUCUAGCUAGCCCAGAGACUAUUUUGCAAAACUAUUAAAGGGUUUAGAUGUUUCCAUUGAUGAAUACAUGAGUAUUUUGAUGUUUAAUGAUAGAUUAUGAAUAUUUGAUGAUAGUUAUUCAAGUUUUGUUAAGUGAUUUUUAGUGAAAUUGCAGAAUAAGGAUUAAAUUAUAAAAUGUGGAAACUUUGUGGUUAGAAUGUAAAAUAAAUGAAAAAUAUGGGUUGCUAGGAGCAUAAUAGUAAUUCGGCUAGCAUGGGUUAGUCUUAAAUUGUAUGAAUAUGUGUUUUUAUGAAAUAAGGACUAAAUUGUAAAAGUUAUGAAAUAUUAGAGGCAAAAGUGUAAAUGUGCUUUAAUAAGUGUUUUAGAUUAAAUGGAAUUGUGAGGUAAUUAAAUAAGCUAAAUUUGAUUACAUAUAGAUCAAGAAAAGCAAAACUCGAAUCUUGAUCGGGGGAAAUUAAGUAUUGGAUUAGUUGGUUCAUUCCAUCAUUUUUGUGAACCGAGGUAAGUUCGUAUAUAAUAAAUUCAUUCUAAAUUAUUUUAAAUGCUUUGAUAUUGCAUAAACUAUGAAUACGAGACUACGAACAUAGUCGAUAGUAAUUCGAUGAUGAUUCGGCAUACAGAAUCCCAAUUGAACCUUAGGAAUAAAUUAAGAUACUACUGACAUGUCAUUAGGGAAUACAUUGAUUUGGCUUUGGGCCAUGAUAUAGGCACUUUGGGUGUGAGUUACAUUGAUUUGGCUUCGAGCCAUGAUAUAGACACUUCGGGUGUGAGUUAUAUUGAUUUGGCUUUGGGCUCAAAACAUACCUCAAUCAAGAAUAUAUACAAACUUAUAAUGGACUAAAUUUGGCUUUAGUUUUAUUUAAUUAACCUUUAUUUUCACAAUUACCAAAAUACCCUUAAUUAAAACAUUAAUCAAACUUAUAAUGGAAGACCAUUUAUGUCAUAAUCCACUAAUUAUAGUCUAAUCAUAUCAUAAGGACCUCUCAUUUAAUAAAUCAUAGCAAUUAAACACUUUUAACUUAUAGCAUGCUACUUUUACAUUUUAAGAGAUUAAGUCCUUUUAUCAAAUUAAACAUUCAAAUGCUAAAAUUAUUCCACGAAACUUUCACACAUAUCUAACCACAUGCUAUAAACACCAAAAAUAAUAUUAAAAAUAAAUUUUCGACCUCGAAUUUGUGGUUUCAAAACCACUGUUCUGAUUUAGCUAAAACCGGGUUGUUACAUCCCACCCUGUGUCCAACCUCAUGUAACUCUCUAACUUGGGUCACACGGCCAACACACAUGCCUGUGUGCCUAGCCUAUAUGCCUUAAAAAUGGCCAUACAAGCCCGUGUCUCUGGCCGAGUGCUAGGCCAUGUCGAACGUAUAUGGUGUACUGACUUAUGCCACACGGCCAAGUCACAUGCCGGUGUGUGAGGCCGUGUGGAGCAUACUGACAUGAUUUCAAUUUCAACAUGAGAGGACACACGGCCGUGUAAUAUAACCGUGUGUCACACACGGCUGAGACACAUGCUUGUGUCUCUGCCCGUGUGGACAAAAAUAGGCUAUUUACCAAACCAAUUUGCCACCCAAAUUUGAAUGUACCUACAACAUAUCAAUUUGCACCAUCCCAUGGCAUAAAUAGGCUUUUAAACCAGCCAAUUCAAACCUAAUUCAUGCAUAAUCUAUACCACAUUACUCAAUACAUACAAGUUGCAAAAUAGACCAAUCCAUUCAUAUCCAAAAUCUCAUAAACUUAGAUCAUCAAUAUAGCUACUUAAAACAUGCAUUCUUUACCUUGAUUCACAAGAAAAUAACAUCACCAAUAUCAACAUUCAACUUCCAUAAUACCAAAUAUUAAUAAGCAUCCAAAACCAACCUCAAUUUACAUAACAUAAACUAUAGGCACAAACACAUAUACACUAGCAAAUUAAUCUCAAAAUAAGCCAACUCUCAUGGCUAUUAUAUACAAACCAAGACAUAUACAUUUACAAGCCAAUUCAAAUGGCCAAAAUCAUUACCAAAACAUAACCAACUUGACCAAAGUCCCUAUACAUGCCAUAUACUUAAAAUACCAAAUUUCAUAGGUACCAAGUGAUAAGUGGAUAGUGUGAAGCGAUCUCCGGCAAUCCCCGAAUUCGAGCUAGCUUGAUAACAGUAUAAAAUACGGGGAAAAUAAACAAAGCAAGAUAUAAAGCUUAGUAAGGUCAUAUGAAAUAAACUCGAUAUAAUCAUAUCCACAUAAUUCAACAAUUUGAUUAUAGAUACAUGAAUUCAUAUCAACUAACAAGCCUUUCAAUUACUUAUUCACAAAACUAUAUAUUUUCUUCACUAUUUCUUCGAUUCAAAGCUAAUAUAGUUUAUGCACAUACCUCUACCGUCUCGUACCAAUCUCAUUCUCAACCACAUCAUUCAUUUACCCAUUAAACCAUUCGGAAUAGAAGUCGGAUACUUAGGAGUCUUGCACACUAAGUACCUAUACCAUGGCCCGAAGCCAAAUCCAGGUAACUUAUAUUCGAAGUACUGAUAUCAUGGCCCGAAGCUAAAUUAGCCGAUAUUCAUGGUCCGAAGCCAAACUGGUAUAACUCGCACCCGAAGUGCUAAUAUCAUGGCCCGAAGCUAACUCAAUGUAUCCCCUAAUGACAUGUCACCAGUAUCCUAAACUAUUCCUAAGGUUCAACCGGGAUUUCGAAUACCGAAUUACCAUCGAGUCAUUUUCGAACUUACCUGAAGUCUUGUAUUCACCACUUAUACAAUAACAAAGCAUUUAAAAUACACUUAUAAUGAAAUUUAUCACAUGCGAACUUACUUCGGAUGUGAAAACGACGAAAUAAGUCGAUUAGUCUAUAACUUUAGUUUUCCCCCGAUCUAGAUCUGAAUUCCGCUUUUCUUGAUCUAAAUAUAUUUGAAAUUAACUUAUUUAAUAAUCUCUCUAUUCAAUUUAAUCCAAAACACACAUUUAAGCACAUUUACCUUUACCUUAGAAUUUCUCAACUUUUACAAUUUAGUCCUUAUUACACAAAAUAAAAAAUUCAUGAAAUUUCUUUAAUACCCAUGAUAGCCGAAUUACUAUAAUUCCCCUAGCAUCCCAAAUUUAUCAACUUUUCAGAUAAUUAACCACACAUUUUCAUAUUUUCACAAAUAAAUCCCUAUUUUGCAUUUUUACUCAAAAUCACUUUACAGAAUAUGUAAAUCUAGCAACAAGAUUUCAUAUUUCAUCAUCAAACAUCAAAGAACACAUAUUUUCAUCAAUGAAAACUUUCAAAUCUUUAACAGUUUUACAAAAUAGUCCCUGGCUAGCUAGAACUAGUUGCAACGAUCAUAAAAACAUAGAAAACAUUAAAAAUCAAGUCAAAAUAACUUACCAAUUAAGCUCCAAAGUGACCGAACCCUAAAAUGAACAAAAUGGUUUUCUUCUUCUUCAACAUUCGAUUAAUGAAGAUGAUAAUGGAGCUUUAAUUUGGUUAUGUUUUAUUUAUUUUAAGUUAGAUUACCAAAUUACAAAUAUAACGUUAAUAAUUAACCAUUUAAAUCAUCCAUUCUACGUACGUAAAUGUCCACUCACAAUUAAAAUGGCCUAAUUUCCAUUUAAGGACCUCUAAUUUAUGAUUCCUUAGCUAUUAGAUACUUUUAGCUAAUAGAACUCCACUUUUACACUUUACGCGAUUUAGUCCUUUUUAUCAAAUUGACUAAUCAGACGAUAAAAUUUCUAAACGAAACUUUCACACAAUCAUAUAUUCAUACUGUAGACCUUAAAAUAAUAAUAAAAUAAAUAUUUUGACUUCAAAUUUGUGGUCCCGAAAUCACUGUUACGAUUUGACUAAAAACGGGCUGUUACAACUCUCCCAUUUAGGGAUUUUCGUCCCCAAAAAUCUUACCAGCAAAAUGGUUAGGGUACUGUUUUCUCAUAGCUUUCUUGGGUUCCUACGUAGGCUCUUCAGCACCAUGUUGUUGCCAAAGUACUUUCACAAGAGCUAUGCUUUUAUUUCUCAACUGUUUAGCCUCACGUGCUAGAAUUCUGAUCGGUUCUUCGUUGUAUGUCAUAUCAGGUUGAAUUUCAAUUUCUGCCAGAGAAAUUAUGUGUGAAGGAUUUGAUCUAUAUCGACGCAACAUUGACACACGAAACACAUUGUGAAUCUUUUCUAACUCAGUUAGUAAAGCUAGUCAAUAUGUCACUAAACCUAUUCUUUCGAUGAUCUCAUAUGACCCGAUAAAACGUAGACUCAACUUACCUUUAUGAACAAAUCAAAGGAUUUUCUUCCAGGGAGACACUUUCAAAAAUACUUUAUCACUAAUUUGAAAUUCAAUGUCUUUUUGUUUCAAAUCUAUGUACGAUUUCUGUCAAUCUGAAGUUGCUUUCAAACUGUCGUGAAUUACUUUCACUUUUUCUUCUGUUUCUUGGAUCAAAUCAACCCCGUGAAUCUUUUUCUCACUAAAUUCAGUCCAAUAAAAUGGAGUUCAACAUUUGUGACCAUACAAAGCUUCGUAUGGUGCCAUUUUUGUGCUCGAUUGAAAACUGUUGUUAUACGCAAAUUCAACCAAUGGUAAAUAUUUCUCCCAAUUUCCUUCGAACUCUAAAACACAACAUUGGAGCAUAUCUUCGAGAAUUUGAAUUACUCUCUCAGACUGACCAUCGGUUUGCAAAAGAAAUGUAGUACUAAAUCUUGCAAUUUCUUCCAAAAUCGUGAUGUAAAUCUCGGAUCCCUAUCCAAAAUAAUCUAAACUAGAACUUCGUGCAAUCUAACGAUCUCAACAAUGUACAAUUCAACUAAUCUAUCGAGUGAAUAGACUGUACGUACUGGUAUAAAAUGCGCCAAUUUCAUCAAUCUAUCAACUACAACCCAAACAACAUCUUUCUUUUUUAGAGUUAGGGGCAAUCUCGAUAUGAAAUCCAUCGUAACUCUAUCCCAUUUCGACUCAGGUAUCAUUACAGGUUGUAGUAAUCCUGAAGGCACUUAAUGUUAAGCUUUUACUUGUUGACAAAUCAAACACCUCAGCACAAAUUUUGAAAUGUCCUGUUUCAUGCCUAACCAACAAUACGAUUGUUUCAAAUCAUUAUACAUCUUAGUACUUCCAGGAUAAACGGAUAAACAACCAUUAUGUGCCUCAUAUAAAAUUUUCUAAAUCAACUUUGCAUUUUUCGGUAUGCAGAUUCUACCUUGGAACAUCAAACAAUCAUCAUAUCCAAUUUGGUACUCUGAGUCACUAGUUGACUCGCAUUGCACUCUUUUAGCUAUUCACUAUCACAUUUCUGAGCUUUGCAAAUUUGCUAAAGAAAUACUGGUUUAGCCUUUAACUCAGCUAAAAUCGAACCAUCAUCAGAUAAUGUCAACCGUGUAUUCAUUUCUCUCAAGGCAAACAACGAUUUUCUACUCAAAGCAUCUGCGACUACAUUAGCUUCCCUAGAUGAUAAUAUAUUAUUAACUCAUACUCUUUUAGUAGCUCGAGCCAUCUCCAUUGUCGCAAAUUUAAAUAUUUCUGAGUAAUAAUUUACUUUAAGCUUUUAUGAUCGAUAAAGAUGUGGCACUUUUCACCGUACAAAUGAUGUUGCCAAAUUUUUAAUGCAAAUACAAUAGUGGCCAAUUCUAAAUUGUGCGUCAGAUAGUUCUUUUCAUGUGGCUUCAACUGUCUCAAGGCAUAAGCUAUCACUUUUCCCUCUUGCAUCAACACGUAACCCAAACCAUUUAAUGACGUGUUGCUGUAAAUCACAAAUUCUUUUCCUAACUCAGGUUGAACCAAAACUGGUGCUUUAGUUAACAAUGCUUUCAACUAAUUGAAAUUUUGUUGACAUUUCUCUGAUCACUCAAAUUUCAUAUAUUUCUAUAACAACCUGGUCAUCCGUAUAGCAAUCAUUGAGAAUCCUUUUACAAAACGUUGAUAAUAACUUAACCCCAAGAAGCUUCUGACUUUAGAUAUAUUUCUCAGUAGUUUCCAAUCAACAACUGUUGAAAUUUUGCUCGGAUAAACUCUUAUGCCUUUUGCUAAAACAAUGUGCCCCAAAAAUCUGACUUCUCUGAGCCAAAACUCACAUUUACUAAAUUUAGCAUACAGUUGCUUAUCUCUCAAAGUUUUCAACACAAUUCUCAAAUGCUUAGCAUGCUCGACUUAUCUCGAGAAUAAAUCAGAAUGUCGUCAAUGAACACAACAACAAAUCUGUUUAAAUACAGUGUAAAGAUCCAAUUCAUCAAAUCCAUAAAAAUAGUAGGAGCAUUAGUUAGUCCAAAAGGCAUAACAAGGAAUUCAUAAUGUUCGUACCUCGUUCUAAAUGUAGUUUUCGACACAUCUUAAUCUUUAACUCUCAACGAAUAAUAACCCGAUCUCAAAUCAAUCUUCGAAAACAUUGUUGCCUCUUUUAACUGAUCAAACAAAUCAUCAAUUCUUGACAAAGGAUACUUGUUCUUUAUCGUAACUUUAUUGAGUUGUUGAUAGUCAAUACACAUUCUCAUUGACCCAUCUUUCUUCUUUAGGAACAAUAAUGGCACACCCCAGGGCGAAAAACUAGGUCGUGCAAAACCUCUAUUUGUUAACUCUUGCAACUGAGAUUUCAACUUUUUCAAUUCUUUUAGAGCCAUUAUGUAUGGAGCUAUAGAUAUCGACGAUGUUCCUGGUACUAGUUCAAUAGCAAACUCAACCUCUCUGAUCAGUGGAAACCCAGGCAAUUCUUUUGGAAGACAUCCAGAUAUUCAAAAACUACAGGCACCGAUUCAAUCUUCAUUUCAGACACUUUGGUAUCUAAAACAUAGGCAAGAUAAGCAUCACAACCUUUUCUCACAUAUAUCUAAGCCGAUAUCGAUGAAAUUACUAUAGAUAAUCUACUUGACUCAUCUGAUUAAAUUCAAAGAAUUACACUGUUCUGACAUUUCAAUUCAAUGAUCUUUCAUCUACAAUUCUCAACAGAAUCAUGCAGAGUCAACCAAUCCAUACCGAGUAUUACGUUAAACUACUCAAAAGGUAGUAGCAUAAAGUCAGCUAAAAAAUAGUAACCCCGAGUCAUCAACGGGCAAUCCUUGCAAACUUUAUCGACUAAAACAUACUUGCCUAAGGGGUUUGAUACUUUAUAUAAAUUCUGUAGACUCAACAGGCAAAUUGAGUAGACUGAAUAAGCAAAUUUUUACUAGACACUAAAUUCAUACAGAUAUAUGAAUGAGUCAAUCCAGGAUCAAUCAAUGCAAUCAUAUUAGUGUCAUAAAAAGAAAAUGUGCCGGUGAUAACAUCAGAUGACGACAUUUCUUCAUGAGCGCAAAUAGCGUAAGUUCUGGCUAGCACUCUAGCCUCAGAUCUCACAACUGAAUCCCUAGUCACACCUUUUCCACUAGACAUAUUCCUCGUUUUUUGCGGUGGUCUCUCUCUCGCAAUCGUAUUGCUUGGUCUUGCAUUCUGAAAUUUAUCUUCCUCAAAUAGCUUUGGGUAAUCUCGAAUAAAAUGAUCUGGCGAGCCACAUUUGAAACAAACUUUAUUACUCUUAUUCCAGCACUCUCCAAAAUGUCGUCUCUUACACUAUUGACACUCAGCUUUAUUAUUUCUCAUACUGCCAACGCUUGAGACGGAAGUAGCUUGAGCUUUAGGACUCACAUGUUGAUUUCCACGAUCUCUAUUCUGGUAUCCCACUGAUGCAUUUGAUCAACUAUACAAAUCUCAAGAUUUCUUUGAUGAAGAAUGAUACAGUUUAUUCAUCGAUCUUUUUCUUAAAUCUCUAGCCUCUGAAUCAGCUUUCAUCUUUGCUCGGCUAAAGCCUUUAGUAUUACAAGCCUGGUCAACUAAUACAACAAAUUCUUUCAAAUAUAAAAUCCCGACCAAAAGUUUAAUGUCUUCAUUCAAAUCAUUAACAAACUGCUUGCACAUGAUCUCUUCGAUAGAAACAUACUCUCGAGCACAUUUGCUCAACCGCACAAAUUCUGUCUCGUACUCGAUUACAGUCAUAUGGCCCUAUUUCAAUUCUAAAAACUCUUUAUGCUUUUGAUCUAGAAACCGUUGGCUUAUAUAUUUCCUCCUAAACUUAUUUUGAAAGAAUUCCCAAGUGACCCAUUCUCUAGGUAUCACAGAUACUAAUGUAUUCCACCACUGAUAUGCAGUAUCUCUCAAUAAUAAAAUGGCACACUUUAAACUCUCAGCUGAAGUACACGACAAUUCAUCACAUACUUGAAUAGUAUUUUCAAGCCAAAAUUUAGCUCUCUCGGGAUCGUCAUCAACGGUAGCUCUGAACUCUUCAACCCCGUACUUACAGAUUUUAUCAAUCGGAGGCUUAUUUAGUCGUUGGAAUUCUACAACUUGAGGGGCUAUAGGGAUCGAUUGAGGAUUAAGUGGGGCUGGAGGUUGUUGAGCAGCCGGAUUUGUCCAGACAUACUGUGUGAACCAGUCGUUUAUCAUUUGGAAGAAGGCUUCUUUAGCCUCUCCUCCUUGGCUACCUGAUAUGGGUUUAGAUUCAAAAGGCACUGUCCCUUGAGCAGGAGCUGACGCAUUACUUUCAACCUCAUCAGCUACACUCGAUUGGGACCCAUUUACUAUAUGAAAACACAUUUAAAAAUGACAGGAGUCAUCACACUAUCACAGUUUAUAUAUGGCAUGUAUAGCUAAACUCUCACACAUGCUACAUUAGUCCUACAAUUAACUAAAUUACAAAUCUGAUACCAAUAAAUGUAACACCCCUCACCUGUAUUUAACGCUGAAAUAGGGUUACAGAGCAUUACCAAACUUACAACAUAAACAACCAUCCAAUUCGAAUAAAAAAUCUUUAACCAAAUGUAAUUCCAAUAAAAUACAAUCACAUUGUCCCUAUUACGAGCCUAUAAGGCCUUAAACAUAUUUUAGGAAUGGUUCGGGACUAAAUCGACAACUUCAAAAACUUUCACGAAACCUUGAAAAAUUUUCUCAAAACAGGGGACACACACCCGUGUGGUCCACUCGUGUGUCUCACACGGCCAACAAACAUACUCGUGUCAUAGGUUGUGUAGACAUUAGAAAUAGGAGCACAUGGCCGUGUCCCAGCCCGUGUCUGACCCUGUGUAACUCUCUGACUUAGGUCACACGGCCAACACAAAGGCCCGUGUGACCUAAAAAUGGCCAUACACGCCCGUGUGCCAGGUCAUGUGCUAGGUCGUGCCAAACCUGUAGGGUGUACUGACUUAUGCCACACGGCCAAGUCACACACUCGUGUGUGAGGCCGUGUGGAGCAUACUUACUUGAUUUCAAUUUCAACACUAGGGGACCCACGACCGUCUAACAUAACCAUGUGCCACAUAAGGCUAAGACACACGGCCGUGUCUCUACCCGUGUGGACAAAAAAAUGGACCUUUAAUUUGGUUAUGUUUUAUUUAUUUUAAGUUAAAUUAACAAAUUACAAAUAUAAACUUAAUAAUAAACCAUUUAAAUCAUCCAUUCUAUACCCAUAAAUGUCGACUCACAAUUAAAAUGGUCUAAUUACCAUUUAAGGACCUCUAAUUUAUGAUUCCUUAACUAUUAGAUGCUUUUAGCUAAUAAAACUCCACUUUUACACUUUACGCAAUUUAGUCCUUUUUAUCAAAUUGACUAAUCAGAUGAUAAAAUUUAUAAAGAAAACUUUCACACAAUCAUAUAUUCAUACUGCAGGUCAUAAAAUAAAUAUUUUGACUUCAAAUUUGUGGUGCCGAAACUACUAUUCUUAUUUGACUAAAAAUGGGCUGUUGCAAGUGUCGGUUCAACCUGAGUCGGAUAAAGAGUUUGUGAUUUAUAGCAACGCGUCAUUGAAUGGUUUGGGUUGCGUUUUGAUGUAAGAAGGAAAAGCCGUAGCUUAUGCCUCUAGACAGCUAAAACCGCAUGAAAAGAACUAUUUGACGCAUGAUUUAGAGUUGGCCGCUAUUAUUUUCGCAUUGAAAAUUUGGCGACAUCAUUUGUAAGGAGAAAAGUGUCAUAUCUUUACCGAUCACAAGAGUUUGAAAUAUAUAAUGACUUAGAAAGAUCUAAACUUGUGACAAUGAAGAUGGUUAGAAUUGUUGAAAGAUUAUGAGUUAGUAAUUGAUUAUCAUCUAAGGAAAGCAAAUGUAGUUGUAGAUGCUUUGAGUAGAAAAUCUCUAUUUGCUUUGAGAGCGAUGAAUACAGGACUAACUUUGUCUGAUGAUGGUUCGAUUUUAGCUGAAUUAAAAGCUAAACCAGUGUUUCUUUAGUAAAUUUGUGAUGCUAAAAAAUGUGACAAUGAGUAGCAAGCUAAAAGAGUGCAAUAUGAAUUGAUUAAUGAUUUAGAAUAUCAAAUCAGAUCCAAUGAUUGUUUAAUGUUCUAAGGUAGAAUCUACAUACCAAAGAAUCCCAGGCUCAUUCAGAAAAUUUUAUAUGAGGCACAUAGUGGUUGUUUAUCUGUUCACUGGGGAGUACUAAAAUGUAUAAUGAUUUGAAACAAUUGUAUUGGUGGUCAACAUUUUAGAAUUUGUAUUGAGAUGUUUGGUGUGUCAGCAAGUUAAAGCUGAACAUCAAGUGCCAUCGAGAUUACUGCAACAUGUGAUAAUACUAGAGUGGAAGUGGGAUAGAGUUACGAUGGAUUUCGUAUCAGGUUUUCCUUUGUCUAUGAAAAAGAAAGAUGCUAUCUAGGUUGUUGUAGACCGAUUAACGAAGUCUGCGCAUUUCAUUCUGGUACGUACAGACUAUUCACUUGAUAAAUUGGCUGAAUUGUACAUAUUUGAGAUUGUUAGAUUGCACGGGGUGCCAGUUUUGAUUAUUUAAGAUAGAGAUCUGAGGUUUACAUCACGAUUUUGGAAGAAACUAUAUGAAGCUCUUGGUACGAGGUUGAAUUUUAGUACAGCUUUUCACUGCAAACUAACGGUCAAUCUAAGAGAGUAAUAAAAAAUAUCAAAGAUAUGCUUCGUUGUUGUGUGUUGGAGUUCGAAGACAACUGGGAGAGAUUUUUGCCAAUGGUUGAAUUUGCAUAUAACAAAAACUUUCAAUCGAGUAUAAAAAUGGCACCGUACGAAGCUUUAUAUGGUUGCAAAUGUCGAACUCCAUUGUAUUAGACCGAGUUGAGUGAGAAAAAGGUUCUUAGGGUUGAUUUGAUCCGAAAGAUUGAAGAAAAAGUAAAAGUAAUUCGUGAUAGUUUGAAAGCAGCUUCAGAUCGACAGAAAUUGUAUGCAGAUUUGAAACAAAAAGACAUUGAUUUUCAGAUCAGCGAUAAAGUGUUUCUAAAAGUAUCUCUGUGGAAGAGAAUACUUAGAUUUGGUCACAAAGGCAAGUUGAGUCCGCAUUUUACCGGGCCGUAUAGGAUCGUCAAAAGAAUAGGUCCAGUGGCAUAUCGGCUAGCUUUACUGAUUGAGCUAGAGAAAAUCCAUAAUGUGCUUCACGUAACGAUGUUGUGUUGAUAUAGAUCAAAUCCAUCACAUGUAAUUUCUUUGGCAGAGAUUUAAAUUCAACCUGAUAUGACGUACAACGAAGAACCAAUCAAAAUUCUAGCUCGAGAGAUUAAAGAAUUGAUAAAUAAAUGAAUAGCUUUGGUGAAUGUUUUGUGGCAACAACAUUGUGUUGAAGAAGCCACGUGGGAACCCAUGGAAGCUAUGAGAAAACAGUACCCUAACCUAUUCACUGGUAAGAUUUUCAGGCACGAAAAUCCCUAAGGGGGAGAGAGUUGUAACAACCAAUUUUUAGUCAAAUCGAAAUAGUGGUUUUGGGACCACAAAUCUAAAGUCAAAAUAAUUACUUUAUUAUUAUUUUAAUGUUUACAACAUGAUUGAAUGAUUGUGUGAAAAUUUUGUUAAGAAAUUUUAUCAUUUGAAUGCUUAAUUCGGUAAAAAGGACUAAAUUGUGUAAAGUGUAAAAGUUAUGUUCUAUUAGCUAAAGGUGUCUAAUAGCUAUGGAACCUUAAAGUAAAGGUUCUUAUAUGGUAAAUAAACCAUUUUUAGUGUUAAUGGACAAAGAUGGACAUGCAUAAAUGAAUUUUAAUGGUUUAUAUUAAAGGUUAAUAUUGUAAUUUGGUUAUUAAAGUGAAAUAAAUAAAUAAAAAUCAAAAUUUUAAAGGCUAUCAUCUUCCUGGCCAAUUUUUAGCAAAGAAUAAAGCCAUUUUUAGGGCUUGAAGCAUUCCGUCAUCUCCUAGCUCAAUUGUAAGUCUGUUUUUGUUCUAUUUUUAAUGAUUUCUACUUUUUUUAGAUCGUUGCAACUAGGUCUAACUAGCCCAGGGACUAUUUUACAAAAUGUUAAAGAUUUUAGAUGUUUCCAUUGAUGAAUACAUGAUUAUUUUAAUGUUUAAUGAUAUAUUAUGAAAUUUGAUGAUAGUUAUACAAGUUUUGUUAAAUGAUUUUUAGUGAAAAUGAAGAAAAGGGAUUAAAUUGUGAAAUGUAAAAAAAUUUGUGGUUAUAAUGUGAAAUAAUGAAAAAUAUGGGCUGUUGGAGGCAUAAUAGUAAUUCAACUAGCAUGGGUUAGUCUUAAAUUGUAUAAAUUUGUGUUUUUAUGAAAUAAGGACUAAAUUGUAAAAGUUGUGAAAUAUUAGGGGCAAAAGUGUAAAUGUGCUUUAAUAAGUGUUUUGGAUUAAAUUGAAUAGUGAGGUAAUCAAAUAAGCUAAAUUUAAUUACAUAUAGAUCUAGAAAAGCAAAACUCAGAUCUUGAUCGGGGGAAAAAUAAAGUAUCAGAUUAGUCGGUUCAUUCUAUCGUUUUUGUGAAUCGAGGUAAGUUCGUAUGUAAUAAGUUCAUUAUAAAUGUAUUGUAAAUGCUUUGAUAUUGCAGAAACUUUGAAUAAGAGACUACGGACAUGUUCGAUAGUAAUUCGAUGAUGAUUUGACAUACGAAAUCUCAAUUGAACCUUAGGAAUAAAUUAGGAUUCUAGUGACAUGUCACUAGGGAAUACAUUGAUUUGGCUUCGAGCCAUGAUAUAGGCACUUCGGGUGCGAGUUACAUUGAUUUGGCGUUGAGCCAUGAUAUAGGCACUUCGGAUAUGAGUUACAUUAAUUUGGCUUCGGGCCAUGAUAUCGGCACUUCGGGUGUAAGCUUCAUUGAUUUGGUUUUAGGCCAUGAUAUUGGCACUUAGGGUGCGAGACUCCGGAGUAUCUGAAAUUUAUUCUGAAUUGUUCAACGGGUAAAUGAAUGGUAUGUUUAGUAUGAGAUUGAUACGGGAUGGUAUAGGUAUGUACAUAAAUCCUAUAAGCUUUAAAUCGAAGAAACGAUGAAUAAUACAUAUAGUUUUAUUUGAAAGGUUUGCUAGUUAAUAUGAAUUAUAUGUGUUUAUGGUUAUAUUAAGUUCAUUUCAUACGAGCUUACUAAGCUAUAAAGCUUACUUUGUUUAUUUUCCCAUGUUUUAUAGUGAAUUCAAAGGGAGCUCAGACUCGGGGAUCGUUGGAGAUAUUGUCACACUAUCCAACUAAUCAAUUUUGGUACUUUUGAGCUUGUGUUUUGGUCAUAUGGCAUGUAUAGGGACUUUGGUCAUUUUGGUUAACAAAUUAACGAUGAAUGUACCUAUUUGAGUUGGCUUGUAAAUGUUCUAAGUUUGGUUUUGUAUAUUGCCAUAUAUGUUGGCUUGUUUUAGUAUGUUUGAAUCAUGUGUAUAUAUAUAUGGCCUGGAUUGUGAGUUCAUGGAUAGGUAUAUGAUACUUAUGAAUUAUCAAGAUUGUGGAGGUCAAUUGGUUGAUAUUAGAGUACUUAUAUACUUGUGAGUUUGAUGUUUAAUGAUGCAUGUUUGGAAGUGUCUAGCAAGUUAAGUUAUAAAUGUGAAAUUGGUAUAAAUGGUUUGACAUGUUUUGUUAUUAGUGUGUAUAGAGAAUGAGAGUAUUGAAUGUGCAUGAAUUAUGUUUGAAUUGGUUGAUUUAAAAUACCUAUUGAUGCUAUGUAUUGGUGCAUUUAAGUUUGAUGUACGUGAGCUCAAGUUGGGUGUCAAAAUGGCUUGGUUAAUAGCCUAUUUUUUUGUCCACACGAGCAGAGACACGGACAUGUGUCUUAGCCGUGCGUGAUACAUGGUCAUGUACACUGCUGUGUGUCCCUUGGUGUGGAAAUUAAAAAUAAGUCAGUAUUCUCCACAUGGCCUCACACAAGCCUGUGUGUGACUUGACCAUGUGGCAUAAGUUAGUAUACCCUACAGUUUUGGCAUGGCCUAGCACACGGCCUGGCAAACGGGCGUGUAUUGGCAUUUUUAGGGCACAUGGGCUAGCCGUACGGGUGUAAGUGUUGGCCAUGUGACCCAAGUCAGAGAGCUACAUGGGGCUGGACAUGGGCUGGAACACGGUCGUAUGCUUCGGACACAGGCGUGUCUUCGACUGUGUCUCUCACAUGGUCAGGCCACACGGGCGUAUGUCCCCUAUUUUGAGAAAAAAUAUCUACGUGUUUAAAAAGUUUCCAAAGUUAUCAGUUUAGUCCUAAACCACUCUUAAUGCAUGUUUAGGGCCUCGUAGGCUCGUAUUAGGUACAUAUUGAUUGAGAUUGAAUGAUAAUUGCAUGAAAUGCAAAGUGAAUGUUUAAUUAUUUUAUAAAUCCUGUAAUACUCCGUAACCCUAUUUCAGCGUUGAAUACGGGUGAGGGGUGUUAUAGUUUUUGGUAAAGUGAUGGUUGCUUAGUUAUUAUUCAUGUUCUGAAAUGUGAUUAGUGUAUUUUUGGUUCUUGGUAGGUGAAAGGGUUGUGAACCAAGACUCCAACAUAGUAGGCUCAGUUUUGGAUGCUAUUUCGGAGAAGUAAGUAAUCGAAUUGUAUUUUAUGGACUGAAAAUUCUUUUUAAGGAUGUGUUCUUGGAUGGAUUUUCUUGUGAUUAAUUCGUGUGAUUUGAUUAGCGAAUGUAGGUUUCGUGUUUUCUAGAUGCGUGGUUAAUCAACUCAACAAUCAAGUGUGUGAAAAUGACCCAAAAACUCAAUCAAAAUUCGAUUAAAUCGUGGAAUAAGGGUUUUUUUUUGAAACUGUCCAGUGCCACAAGGUUAUGUGGUAGACCGUGUGCACCACAAGGCCAUGUGGUAGACUGUGUGUGCCACACAAUUGUAUGUGCCACACAAUUGUGUGUGUUUUUGAAGCCUAUGUACCUUGACCGUGUGGAGCACACAGCCGUGUGAAAUCUUAUAGUCCGUGUAGCUUGGCCAUAUGAAACUUUGCAAACCGUGUGGGUAGGCUGUGAAAACCAUCUUUUUGGCCAAUUCUUUGGCCCAAUUAGAGGUCAUUUGAAGGACUCAAAAUAUGGGUCCGUAGGUAUUGUGUGGGACUAAAAAACGUACGUUUUAGCAUGUAACAAUAUAUGUAUAAACUUAGGAGGUAUGUUAAGUAAGAUAUGUUACAAUUAAAUUAUAUGCUACGUUAUGAUCUAUAUAAAAACGUGUGUACACAUGUCAUAUAUUAUGUGAUAUAAAUAUGUAUGAUAUAUGAUAACGAUAUGCAUGUGUUUUGGGGUGGGUUAUGAUAUGAUGGAGGAAAUGUUAUACGGUAGUUUAUACUGCAAUUAUGGCGGCUAGACACGAAUUUCAGUUUGGCAGCUCGACUGCAUAUAUAGAUAUAUAAUGGCACACCACAACAUAUUGUGUGAUUGGUUGGAUGGACUCUUGUAGUCCUAUAUGAUGUGAUUAGUUUGUCGGAGAUGGAGUGUAAUGGAUGAGGGUAGGAUAUGAUUUGAUAUGAUAUAAUAUGGUAUAAUAAGCUAUACUAUGUUCAAUAUGAUAUGACAUGUUGCAAUGUGUUAUGAUAUGAUAAGAUAUACUUUGAUUUGAUUUCUAAAAUGCUAUGAGACGAUUUGAUGAUUAUAUUUACUUGUAUUGAAAUUAUGGGCCAAAUCACACACUGGUCUUAAAGCUCAUGCCUUUGUUUACUUCGUUUCAGGUGAUCCUCUGACUUAGGAUUGGCGACGAAUCUGGAGCUCGGAUUUCACAUUUUUGGUUCAAGUACUAUGGACUUUCAAUUUGUUUAAUAUGAACAUUUAAGACUUUUCUUUGGUUUUAUGGACUUUUGGACAUUUUAGGUUUUGUUUAGGACGUUAGGGUUAUUUGGUAUUUAUUUCUCAAAAGCUUUUAACUUUUAGUAACGCUUAACUUAAGAUAACUAAAAAUGAAUCGCAACUUUAAAAUCGAUACAUUAUGAGGUUUCCGUUGCAAAAUUGAUUCAAGUUUACUGAGAGGUUUUAUCUCGGAACACUUAAGUAAUUAGGUUUGAUUUUAGUAUAACUAUUUUAAGCUGCGGUUUUAGAAAAAAACUAUGAUUUUCAAAUAAGCUACUUAAAUUGACUUUUCUCUUUGUGGACAGUUUGGUUUCCUUAAAAUUAAACAAUUUUUUUUUGCAAGUACAAUGUAACCUCCAUGAUUCGACCGUAACAUCUAGAUUGGGUAUGGGGUGUUACAACAAUAAAAUACUAAUGUUAUUGUAAUGCCCUAAAUUUUUUGGAUUUUUGAAUGUGUAUGUUUGCAAAAUAAUUUAAUUUGGUUUGGUGGUUAAGUGCCUUGGAAGUUUGCUUUGGGGUCUUGGGUUUAAUUCCCUAGUUUUGGAUUUUUUUCUUAUUAAUUUUGGAGGUUAAGCUUGGGCCUUAGGGCUUAAAGUAAUUUCUUUGUUGGGUUAUGACAAUGAUGAGCCUAGUGGUUUAAUGGUUAAGCAUUUUUUUGCUCUUUGGUUUUGAGUUUGAGUCCCAUUAUGCGCAAAUGUGGAAUAUUUUUGCUUGGGCCUUUGUUGGGAAUUAGAGUUUUCUUUAAAUUCUAAAAAAAAUCUAGAGAGUAGGAAUAUUUUUGCACAAACUCCCUCCUUACUUCAUUUUUUUUACUUCAUGGGUUUUUUUUUAUUUUUUUAUUUUUUAUGUUUGGUUAGCCUUGUUCUGCCGUUUUUCAAUCUUUUCUUCCUUGGGUCUUCUUCUUUUCUUUGCCUCUACUUUUCUUGAGCCUUUCUUGUUACUAUAUCUUGGAUUUUUCUACUGUUCGUACGUUCUUGUUACGUAGUUCUUCCCCAGCCAUAGUGUAAGUCUGUUGGUUACUCUUCUUUUUGUUUUAUUAUUUUAGUUUUAAUUGGGUUCGUGAGCAAGGUGGCUCUACACUUAAAUGUCUUUAUUCGAUGUUUUAAUUAGUGUUUUUAUGAUGUGCGAUUAGGCAACCCUCCAGCAGAGUAGGUACGAUUUUUCGAUGUCGUUUCAAGGAAGUAAGUAUUCAAACUUCGUUUAAGGGCCGAAAUUUUGUUUUUAAGGUUAUUGAUUUUUGAUGUUAAUUAUUGGUUAAUUCGUGGGAUUUGUUGAACGUUUGUAAGAUUUUUGAGUUCUGUUAGCAUGGGUCAAUCGAUUACUGCACUAGGCGUGUGAAAAUGACCCAAAAAAAUGCAUUUAAGAUUUGAUAAAACUUAAAAAACAGGGGCUAUUUCAAAAUUUGCCCAACGACCACAUGGCCAUGUGUCAGGCCGUGUGGUGGACCAUGUGUGCUGCAUGACUGUGUGCUAGGCCGUGUGGAGCACAUGACAGCGUGAAUUCUUGCAGCUUGUGUGGCUUGGCCGUGUGAAAAGGUGCAAAACGUGUGGGCCUUUUUUCCCAAUUUUAAGGCCCAAUUAGGAGUAGUUAAAGGACUCAGAAUUUUGGUCUGUAAGCAUUGUAUGGGGCCGAAAAAGCCUAAAUAUCUAAACCUAAAAGUUUAUGGAUAAGUUUAGAAGGUAUGUUAAGUAGGUAAUGUACCAUUUAAUCAUGUGUUAUGAUUUGUAUAAAAAUAUAUAAGUAUCAUGUCAUAUGAUUUAUGACCUAAAAAUAAGUAUGAUAUAUGAUUACGAUUUUUUUGUGUUUUGGGGUGGGUUUUGAUAUGUUGGAGGAAGCGUUAUAUGGAAACUAUAUUGCAAUCAUAACGAUUAGACCGCUAAUUUAGGUAUGGCAGCGCAGCUACAAAUUUGAGUUGCACACUGCUACCUAAUGGUGUGAUUGGAUGGAUGGACUCUUGUAGUCCUAUAUAGUGUGUAGCGAACAGGGGUAGGACAUGAUAUGAUUUGAUAUGGCAUGCCAUGUUAUGGUGUGAUAUGACAUGAUAUAUUUCUGUUCAUAAUGAUGUGAUAAGCUAUAAUUCAAUUUGAGUUCUGAUAUGCUAUAAGACAAUUUGAUGAUUAAAUUUAAUUGUACUAAAAUUAUGGGUCAAAUCAUACACUAGGCUCAAAGCUCACACCUUGUUUGCUUUAUUUUAGGUGAUCCUUCGAGUUAGGAUUGGAUGAUGACUCUGAAGCUCGGAUUUCAUGAUUUUGGUUUAAGUGCUAUGGAUUUCAUAUGUUUUGUUUAUUAUGAAAAUUCUGGACUUUUUCUUAGGUUUUGUUUAUUUCUAGAUGUUUUAUGAUUUGUUUAGAUCAUUAAGACCAUUUCAGUUUUUAUUACACAAAAGCCUUUACCUUUUUAAUGAUGCUUAACUAAAAUAACUAGAAGAAAAAGAACUACGAUUUUACAAAUGCUAUGUUUUAUGAUUUUCAGCUGCAAAAUAAAUUGAAGUUCACCUAGUAGUUUUCUCCCAACACCUAAGUAAAUUAGACUUCAUUUUUUGUAGAACUACUUUAAGCUGUGCUUUCAGAAAUUGCUAUGAUUUUCAAGAGCUAUUCAAGAUGACUUAUCUUUUCGCGGAAAGCUGGUUUCUUUCAAAAUUAUUCACCGUUUAUUUUUUUUGCUUGUAUGAUGUAACCCCCAUGAUCUGACCAUAACAUCUAGGCCGAGUAUCGGAUGUUACAGUUAUCUAACCUAAUGAAUAUUUGACAAAUGUGUUUUAAUAAAAAAAUAUUUAUACAUAUCGAUUCAAUUGCAUCAAUUAUUUUAACCUAACAUAAUGGUAUACAUUGUUUUAAUCAUAUCCGGUAAAAUCUCGUAACCUUAUUUCUAGGCGUUCGAUCAACUCCGCUUAAUUAUGCCAAAUCUACUCUUAGGCAGGGUUUAUUCCUCCUCUGCAUAAGCACAUCAAAUCAGGAAUUAAUACCCGGAAUAUUAACUCAAGCAUUAAGAACACAUAAUUAAGAACAAAUCAAGUAUUUAUCAUACAGUUCAGGUAAUAAAAACAAGAUCCAACAUAGGUUUUAUCCCCCUUAGGUAUCUAAGGGGUUUAGUUCAUAAUAAAAUAAGUGUACAUCUCAAAAGUAUGAAAAUAACAAAACAUAGAGAAAACUCUAAAACCCCUGAAGGAAUUCUGAGAGAAUUCUUCAGUCUUGGAGUAGCUCCGGCUUUUGGGAUGGAUCGUCUGGCUUUCUUCAAGUAAUUCCCGGUGUGAGUUUCUGUAUUCCAAAAAAAUUUUGGAAAGAGCGGCCCCCUUCUAGGUCAUACUUAGGGUGUUUAUAUAGGCCUUGGAUUGGCUUUCUUCCUCCCUAAGUAUCCUUUUCCGUGUAAAAUACAACUCUUUGAAAAAGGGACACGCCCGUGUGCCACGGCCGUGUGACGUGAUUGCCAGGCCGUGUUCGAUCCAUUAAUUUGCACACGGCCGUGUAGGCUCAAUGGCCAGGCCGUGUGAAUCGUGAAAAUCUUGGUCGACACCCCCGAAGGCCACAGGCGUGUGAGAUGCUCGUGUGGCAAGGCUUAGGCCGUGUCAUCUUCUCGAUUUGGUCCGUUUUGUCCCUGUUUGGCUCGUUUUUAGCUUCUUUUGACUCUUGGUGCUCUCCUGAGUACAAAACAUGAAAUAACAGGAUUAAGAGCACCAAAAUCCACAAAUCUAGUAGUAAACAUCCAUAAAUAUGCUAAGAAUUUGGGGUAUAGAUAUGUAUAAUUUGGCGUUUAUCAAUAUCAAAACAAGAAUUAAGAACACAUAAUUAAGAACAAGUCAAAUAUUUAUCAUACAAUUUAGAUAAUAAUAACAAGAUCUGUCUUAGGUGUCGUUCCUCUUAGGUAUUUAGGGGUUUUAGUUCAUAACUAAAAAGGUAAACAUCUCAGAAGAAUAAUGAAUACAAAACAUAAAUAAAAACCUAAAACUCCUGAAGGGAAAUUGAGGGGAGAUCUUCAGUCUUGAUGAUGAAUCCAGCUUCUGAGAUGGAUCAAUCGGCUUUCCUUGAGCAGUUCCCUGCUUCCUGCUCCGUGUGUCCUCUUUUCCUCCUCUUCUAGGGUGUAUUUAUAGGCUUUAGAAUGCCCAAGAACCCUCAAAAUUUGCCUUUUUCAAAUUGGACUCAACUUGGGCUCGACAGGGACACGCCCGUGUGCGAUUACUUCAGGCCAUGGUCAAGCUUGUUAAAUAGGCACGGGCAUGUGGCCCACCCGUGUGAGUCGUGCUUUGAUUUUGCCAAAUUGACACGGUCGUGUGGUCCAGGCCGUGUUGAUUUCAUAUAUUGGCCCAUAUUUUUCGUUUUCUGCCCUAUUCUCGUUCCUUCCACUCUCCUAUGCUCACUUAAGUAUAAAACAUGAAAUUUAGGCAUUAGGAGCAUCGAAUUCACCAAAUCUAAGGAAAAAUCAUCCAUAAAAUGUGCUAAGCAUGGGAUAGAAAUAUGUAUAAAUUACGAUUUACCAGCCGUGUGGAUCAUACGGCCUGGCCUAGAAUCCCACACGCGUGUAGCCUACACGGCCCAUUGGUCGAGCCUGUGUCUCACACACGGCCUCUUCGCCCAUCACAUGACCAUGUCGUGCACCCGUGUCACGUGCGUACAGCCUAGUUCAUCAACUACACGAUCGUGUACUACCACACGGGCGACCACACACCCGUGUGGCGUCGAUAGUUUCAUUUUUCAACUUUUGCCGAUUCUCAUUUUCUGUGUUUUUGAGUACACACCUGUAUCGCUUUUGAUGCCUAAAUACUCCCGAGCACUCCAGCACCUAUAUUUGAUCAAAAUUUCACUCAGUUAAUCAUUUUAACAAACGAGCUAACUAAACCCGAAACGGGUUAUUCACCUUUCGAGCAAGAAAACCAUUACCUACUAUUGAACAAUAGGAAUUCCACAUCCUUAGAACACCGAUGAACGAUAUUCUGCCCUUUGAUUAACACCUAAAAACUAGUCAAAAAUCCCUUUUAAACCAAUAUUCAGAAGAAACCGUUAAGAUCAAUUGAAAACCAAACUUACCGAAAGAUUAGGAUUACGUGCAGCACAAACAAAUGAGGUAAACUUGAGUAAAACAAUGAAAAAGACGAGAGGGGGAAAAGAGAUGGAAUUUCGGCAAAAGGGAGGGGAGAAGAGAAUAGAUUUUUUUGCAAAAAAAAAAAACUGAACAAAAAAUUUUAUUAACCCCUGAUCCCAAGUCCCCUUACUUUUCUCCAUCCACCACCCCAUUACACAGACUUUCAAUAAAACAAAAACUCUUAGCCGAAAAUCGUUGCAAAAUAAUCCCCUUACCACUGUAGAGAUUCAAACACAAGACCUUUAGCUUAACAACACAUCCCUUAACCACCAGACCAGUAGGCCCAUUCUGUUAUGAUUCUACCACUAAUCAAAUAAAAGCCUAUUGAGCAAAGACUGGACUUUAUUUAUAAAAAAAAAACAAAAUUUGCCCAAGUCAUGGCUUGAACUUGGGACCUCACACACACACCCAAAACACUUAACCACGAAAUAGAUACACACUUGUGUAAUAUUUUAUCCGAACAUAAAUUUAAAACUUGGGGCGUUAAAGGGUAGGUCGUGUGGACCAUCUUUUUGGGCAAUUUUUGGGACAGAUUAAGGGUCAUUUGAGGGACUCAAAAUAUGGGUCCGUAGGUAUCGUAUAGGACUAAAAAACGUAAGUUUUAGCACGUGACAAUAUAUGGAUAAACUUAGGAGGUAUGUUAAGUAAGAUAUGUUACAAUUAAAUUAUAUGCUGUUAUGAUCUAUAUGAAAAUGUGUGUACGCAUGUCAUAUGGUGUGUGAUAUAAAUAUGUAUGAUAUAUGAUAACGAUAUGCAUGUGUUUUGGGAUGGGUUAUGAUAUGAUGGAGAAACUGUUAUAUGGUAGUUUAUACUGCAAUUAUGACGGCUAGACCCGAAUUUCAAUUUGGCAAGUCGGCUGCAUAUAUAUAUGAGUGGCACACCCCAACAUAUUGGUGUCAUUGGUUAGAUGGACUCUUGUAGACCUAUACGGUGUGAUUGGCUGGUUGGAGAUGGUGAGUAGCGGAUAGGGGUAGGAUAUGAUUUGAUAUGAUAUGAUAUGAUAAGCUAUGCUAUGUUCAAUAUGAUAUGACAUGUCGGAAUAUGUUAUGAUAUGAUAAGAUAUACUUUGAUUUGAUUUUUACAAUGCUAUGAGAUGAUUUUAUGUUUAUAUUUACUAGUACUGAAAUUAUGGGGCCAAAUCACACACUGGGCUUAAAGCUUAUGCCUUUGUUUGCUUUGUUUUAGGUGAUCCUCCAACUUAGGAUUGAACAACGACUCUGGAGCUUGGAUUUCAUAUUUUUGGUUUAACUACUAUGGACUCUCAAUUUGUUUAUUAUGAACAUUUUGGACUUUUCUUUGGUUUUAUGGACUUUUGGACAUUUUAAGUUUUGUUUAGGAUGUUAGGGUUAUUUGGUAUUUAUUUUGUCAAAAUUUUUAAUUUUUAAUAACGCUUAACUUAAGAUAACUAAAAAUAAAUCACAACUUUAAAAUCGAUACAUUAUAAGGUUUCUAUUGCAAAAUAGAUUCAAGUUUACUAAGAAGUUUUAUCUCGCAACACUUAAGUAAUUAGAUUUGAUUUUAAUAAAACUAUUUUAAGCUCCAGUUUUAGAAACAAUUAUGAUUUUCAAAUGAGCUACUCAAAUUGACUUUUCUCUUCGCGGAAAGUUUGGUUUCCUUAAAAUUAAACAAUUGUUUUUUUUUGCAAGUACAAUGUAACCUCCAUUAUUCAACUGUAACAUCUAGGUCGAGUAUGGGGUGUUACAACAACAAAAUACUAAUAUUAGUAUAACGCCCCAAAUUUUUUAGAUUUUUGAAUGUGUAUAUUUGCAAAAUAAUUUAAUUUGGUUUGGUGGUUAAGUGCCUUGGAAGUUUGCUUUAGGGUCUUGGGUUCAAUUCCCUAGUUUGGAUUUUUUUCCCUAUUAAUUUUGGCUUUCAGUUAAGCUUGGGCCUUACGGCUUAAUUAAUUUCUUUGUUGGGUUAUGACAACGAUGAGCCUUGUGGUUCAAUGGUUAAGCAUUUGUUUGUUCUUUGGUUUUGAGUUUGAGUCCCAUUAUGCGCAAGUGUGGAAUAUUUUUGCUUGGCCCUUUGUUGGAAAUUAGAGUUUUCUUUAAAUUCUAAAAAAAUCUAGCGAGUAGGAAUAGUUUUGCACAAACUCCCUCAUUACUUCAUUUUUUUUACUUCAUGGUUUCUUUAUUAUUAUUUUAUGUUUGGUCACCCUUGUUCUGCCUUUUUGCAAUCUUUUCUUCCUUGGGUCUUCUUCUUUUCUUUGCCUCUAUUUUUCUUGAGCCUUUUUUGUUAUUAUUUCUUAAAUUUUGCUACUGUUCGUACGUUCUUGUUGCGUGGUUCUUCCUAGGCCAUAGUGUAAUGGUUACUCUUCUUAUUGUUUUAUUAUUUUGGUUUUAAUUGGGUUUGUGAGCAAGAUGGCCCUGUGCUGAAAUGUCUUUAUUCAAUGUUUUAAUUAGUUUUUUUAUGAUGUGAGAUUAGGCAAAAGGUGUAAGAAUCCUAACCCUCCAGCAGAGUAGGUACGAUUUUUCAAUGUCAGAAUCCUAACCCUCCAGUAGAGUAGGUACGAUUUUUCAAUGUCGUUUCAAGGAAGUAAGUAUUCAAACUUCGUUUAGGGGCUGGAAUUUUGUUUUUAAGGUUAUUGAUUUUUUAUGUUAAUUGUUGGUUAAUUUGUGGGAUUUUUUGAACAUUUGUAGGAUUUGUAGUUUUGUUAGCAUGGUCGAUAGAUUACUGCAUCGGGUGUGUGAAAAUAACCCCAAAAAUGCAUUUAAGAUUCGAUAAAAUUUCAAAAACAGGGGCUAUUUUGAAACAGCCCAGUGACCACACGGCUAUGUGUCAGGCCAUGUGGUGGACCGUGUGUGCUGCACGACCGUGUGCUAGGCAGUAUGGAGCACACGACAGUGUUAAUUCUUGUAGCUCGUGUGGCUUGGCCGUGUGAAAAGGUGUCGACCGUGUGGGCCUUUUUGCCCAAUUUUAGUGCCUGAUUAGGGGCAGUUGAGGGACUCAAAAUUUUGGUCUGUAGGCAUCGUAUGGGGCAAGAAAAGCCUAAAUAUCUAAACAUAAAAAUUUAUGGAUAAGUUUAGAAGGUAUGUUAAGUAGGUAAUGUACCAUUUAAUCAUGUGUUAUAUUAUGAUUUAUAUAAAAAUAUGUAAGUAUGCAUGUCAUAUGAUUUAUGACCUAUAAAUAAGUAUGAUAUAUGAUUACAAUUUGUUUAUGUUUUGAAGUGGGUUUUGAUAUGAUAGAGGAAGUGUUAUAUGGCAACUAUAUUGCAAUCAUAACGAUUAGACCGCUAAUUUAUGUAUGGCAACUCAGCUGCAAUGGUAGUGAUUGGAUGGAUGGACUCUUGUUGUCCUAUAUGAUGUGUAGCGAACAAGGGUAGGACAUGAUAUGAUUUGAUAUGGCAUGUCAUGUUAUGGUGUGAUAUGACAUGAUAUAUUUUGGUUCGUAACGAUGUGAUAAGCUAUAAUUCAAUUUGAGUUCUGAUAUGCUAUAAGACAAUUUGAUGAUUAAAUUUAAUUGUACUAAAAUUAUGGGCCAAAUCAUACACUAGGCUCAAAGCUCACGCCUUGUUUGCUUUGUUUUAAGUGAUCCUUCAACUUAGGAUUGGAUGAUGACUUUGAAGCUCAGAUUUCAAAAUUUUGGUUUAAGUGCUAUGGAUUUCAUAUGUUUUGUUUAUUAUGGACAUUCCGGACUUUUUCUUAGGUUUUGUUUAUUUCUGGACGUUUUAUGAUUUGUUUAGAUCAUUAGGACCAUUUCAGUUUUUAUUACGCAAAAGUCUUUACCUUUUUAAUGACGCUUAACUAAAAUAACUAGAAGAAAAAGAACUAUGAUUUUACAAACGUUAAGUUUUAAGAUUUUCUGCUGCAAAAUAAAUUGAAGUUCACCUAGUAGUUUUCUCCCAACACCUAAGUAAAUUAGACUUCAUUUUUUGUAGAACUACUUUAAGCUGUGCUUUCAGAAAUUGCUAUGAUUUUCAAGAGCUAUUCAAGAUGACUUAUGUCUUCGCGGAAAGUUGGUUUCUUUCAAAAUUAUUCACCUUUUAUUUUUUUUGCUCGUACGAUGUAACCCCCAUGAUCUGACCAUAACGUCUAGGCCGAGUAUCGGAUGUUACAGUUAUCUGACCUAAUGAAUAUUUGAUAAAUGUGUUUUAAUAAAAAAAUAUUUAUACAUAUCGAUUCAAUUGCAUCAAUGAUUUUAACCUAACAUAAUGGUAUACAUUGUUUUAAUCAUAUACUGUGAAUAAUUUUUCAAUUUUAUUUCUUUUAAGAUUUUUAAAGGAAUUAUAGAAGUCACUUGCGUGAAGUAAGAAUGGGGCAAAAAGUCUUGGAAUGUGCAAAGAAAAGUAUGAAGCAUAAGAAAAUACAAGGACAUAAAAAAAAUUACGUUCAGAUGUUAAGUAAUCAAUAAAAAAAAAGUACGGGUUGGGGCUGAUUUCUUUGUCACAACAAUUGUUUUAAAAAUAUUUUCAAUUUAAAAAUUUAGUUUUGAACCCCACUAAUUUACCAAUAAUAUGUAUGUAUGUAUCAAUUUAUUCUCUCUUUUUUUCUCAUAGCAUUUUAAUUUAAUUUACGAAAUUUUGAGAUGAAAAAUAAAACUUUUGGAAUCGAAAGUCACUUUCCCAAAGAAAUAUAAAGUCCUUAAUACAUUCAUCAUUUACUUUCAGUAAAGUUCGAAAAUUCAAAUUCAAAUUUUAUUUUCAUGAUAAAUUGAGUAAAGAAAACGUCAAAGAAUGUUAUCA
This 58195-nucleotide long non-coding RNA is filed under the name Gossypium barbadense (sea-island cotton). Its description in RNAcentral is "long non-coding RNA (GBAR_LNC009287)". The record is from RNAcentral. Lineage: Eukaryota; Viridiplantae; Streptophyta; Magnoliopsida; Malvales; Malvaceae.